ACGUACAAGGUGAAGCUGGUGACGCCCGAGGGCGAGGUGGAGCUGGAGGUCCCCGAUGACGUCUACAUCCUCGACCAGGCCGAGGAGGAGGGGAUCGACCUGCCCUACUCCUGCCGCGCCGGCUCCUGCUCCUCCUGCGCCGGCAAGUUGGUGUCCGGCGAGAUCGACCAGUCCGACCAGAGCUUCCUCGACGACGACCAGAUGGAGGCAGGGUGGGUGCUCACCUGCCACGCCUACCCCAAGUCCGACAUCGUCAUCGAGACCCACAAGGAGGAGGAGCUCACCGCAUAAGCUGCUUUACCUAUCUCUCUUUGCAAGAUAAUAUCACGGACCCUGAGACCUGUGUAAACCCUGAGAGCUGAUUUCAUGCAUGCACGGACAUUGCCAGAUACACCGAAUUGUUUGUGCUCGAAUGAAUUGCUCGAUGCAUGGUUUGCUCAAGUAAUAAUGUCUUCGAAUUACUACCUUUUUGUACCGUAAGAUAUACUACUGCCGUAAUACUAGCGUGUACCUUGUACGUAACUCGACGUACUGAAAUGAAUCCUGAUGGCUGAGGCGUCUCUCUGAUUAAUAAUAUCUUCUCUUUAAUUAAGAGACUGCUGAAUUACUUGAUGAACAUCUUACCUGGGACUUUCUUCUAUAUCCAGAUAAUAGGUGCAUGCUACGACUUGUUUCAAUAUGAGUUACACAAUUUCCUCAUUAUUUUGUUUACCCACAAGGAGACCUCUUUUCCGCACUCAUUUUUGUCCUCACUACUGAUUUGCUCCAAUCCAUUUUCAAUGAAGCUUUGGACAACAAUUUGAUAGGUUUGCCCAUUAUCACUAAGAAUAACAGAGAUUUCCUUAUAAUCCAGUAUGCAGAUGACACCAUUAUUAUCUUGCAUGCAUGUCCCUUGCAAAUUCAACAAGUUCAGAACAUAUUGAUGCAUUUUCGGGUUUACACAGGUCUCAGGGUCAACUACAACAAAUCCAUGAUGGUUCCCAUGAAUGUACCUGCUCAUAACAUCAAGCAACUCUCAGCUAUUUUAGGUUGUGCCCACAGUAGUUUUCCCUUUACUUACCUUGGACUUCCUCUUGGCAUUUCUAAACCCAAGGUUGAAGAUUUUGAAAAGGAUUGGAUCUAGACUUGCUGGUUGCUCCACAAUGCUUUCCUAGGGAGAGAAACUCAUUCUUGUGAAAUCUGCUUUCACUAGCCUACCUACUUCCUUCAUGAGCAGUUUAGACCUCCCCAUAGGAGUUGUUGGCCAUAUUAAUAAAUACUUGAGACAUUGCUUUUGGAGGAAAUAUGGGAUGGACGACAGACGUACUUCUCUUAUAUUCUUGGGAUAAAAUUUGCCUUGCUAAGGAAGCUGGUGGACUUGGAGUUCUUGAUGUGCAAACUCAGAACAAAGCUUUGUUGAUGAAAGAUCUGCAUAAUUUUUUCAAUAGUUCUGACCUCCCUUGGGUGGACCUUAUGUGGAGCUCCUACUAUACUUCUACCCCCUCCUCAUGUCACACCUGUUGGUUCCUUCUGGUGGAAGUUUAUUCUCAAAUUAAUCCCUGAUUUUAAAGCCAUCUCUUCCUGCAGCAUGGGGCAAGGGAACUAUGUUCUUCUGUUAUUUGAUAAUUGGGAUGGUAACAGAUUCAUUGAUAGAUUCCCUGAGCUUCAUUCUUUUGUUGUGAAUGACCAAUUCUCAAUUGAGCAAGCAUUGCACAUCAACCCUCCAGAGGAUCUAUUCCAUAGGCCACUCUCCACCCAAACUUUCCAGCAGUUCCAGGGUUCCCAAAACUUUAUGAAUAAUAUUCAGUUUUCUGGCUCCAAAGACAAAUGGUCUUACAUCUGGGGAUCUUCUCAGUCCUCUAUUGCAAAGGUUUACAAAACCUUGAGGGUUAAACCACCUACACCACCUCUCUUCAACCUGUUAUGGAAGAGCUCAGUAAUCCUUUGAUAUAAGAUUUUCUUCUGGUUUCUCCUUCAUGAUAGACUGAAUUCAAGAGAGCUUCUACAAAGAAAAUCCUUGUGGCUACCCAAUUAUGAUUGUGGAAUGUGUGACACUAAAUCCUUGGAAACUGCUUUUCACUUGUUUUGGAACUGCCCUUUUUCUAUUCAAUGUUGGGAGACCUCGAUUCCGCAGAUAUUGAGGAACAACUCAGUUUACACAUAUAUCCAACUAGCGGUGCCCCCCCCCCUCCUGAUUUGGCCCUGGACAUCAUAAUUAUGGCUUCAUGGAAUAUAUGGAUUCAAAGAAACAAUGCAAUGUUCAAAAAUACCACACACAGUGUGGCCUCCUGGAAAAUAUUGCUUAGAAGAGAUCUCCAAAUUCUGGCUCACAGAAGACAACAAAGUAGCAAGACUGCAAGCCUGGAUUAAAGUUAACCUUUAAUUUCUCAUGUUGCCAAAAGGUGGGAUUGGUUGAGUUGUAUUUUCUUUUUUCUGUUUGUACAUACUUUUAUUAUUAAUGAAAAUUUAACCAUACAACUAUUGUUCUAUGAUCAGUGCCUAAAAAAUGUUUGAGGCUAGCAGAAUGUUUGUUUACAUGGUCCUCAUUUUUUUCUGAAAAGGGAUAAUAUGUUUGUAAGAUCGUGAAUGUCACCUAGAGGGGGGUGAAUAGGCGCUUUAAAAUAAUUACGGUUUAGGCUUGAACAAAUGUGGAAUAAAACUAGCGUUUAAUUUGUCAAGCACAAAACCUAAAACAACUAGGCUCACCUGUGUGCACUAACAACUUAUGCUAAGCAAGAUAAACAACUAAGUGAUAGAAAGAUAUAUAACAUGUCAUAUUAUGGCUAUCACAAAGUAAAGUGCAUAAGUAAAGGGCUUGGGUAAGAGAUAACUGAGGCACACGAAGACGAUGAUGUAUCCCGAAAUUCACACCCUUGCGGAUGCUAAUAUCCGUUUGGAGCGGUAUGGAGGCACAAUUGUUGGGGAACGUAGUAAUUUCAAAAAAAUUCCUACGCACACGCAAGAUCAUGGUGAUGCAUAGCAACGAGAGGGAAGAGUGUUGUCCAUGUACCCUCGUAGACCGAAAGCGGAAGCGUUAGAACAACGCGGUUGAUGUAGCCGUACGUCUUCACGGCCCGACCAAUCAAGCACCGAAACUACGGCACCUCCGAGUUCUAGCACACGUUCAGCUCGAUGACGUCCCUCGAACUCCGAUCCAGCCGAGUGUCAAGGGAGAGUUCCGUCAGCACGACAGCGUGGUGACGAUCUUGAUGUUCUACCGUCGCAGGGCUUCGCCUAAGCACCGCUACAAUAUUAUCGAUGAGGACUAUGGUGGAGGGGGGCACCGCACACGGCUAAGAGAUCAAGAGAUCAGUUGUUCUGUCUAUGGGGUGCCCCCCUCCCCGUAUAUAAAGGUGUGGAGGAGGGGGCCGACCAAGGGGGUGGCGCGCCCUAGGGGGGAGUCCAACUCCCACCGGGAGUAGGACUUCCCCCUUUCCUAUUAGGAGAGGGAGAGGGAAGGAAGAGGAAGGAGGGAGGAAGGAAAGGGGGGACCGGGCCCCCUCCCAAUUCGGAUUGGGCUUGGGGGGGCGCCCCCUCCCUUGCUCCUUUCCCCUCCUUUCCACUAAGGCCCAAUAAGGCCCAUAUACCUCCCGGGGGGGUCCGAUAACCUCCCGGAGCUCCGGUAUUGUCCCAAUCUCACCCGGAACCUUUCCGAUGUCCAAAUAUAGUCGUCCAGUAUAUCGAUCUUUAUGUCUCAACCAUUUCGAGACUCCUCGUCAUGUCCGUGAUACACAUCCGGGACUCCAAACAACCUUCGGUACAUCAAAACUCAUAAACUCAUAAUAUAACUGUCAUCGAAACCUUAAGCAUGCGGACCCUACAGGUUCGAGAACUAUGUAGACAUGACUGAGACACGUUUCCGGUCAAUAACCAAUAGAGGAACCUGGAUGUUCAUAUUGGCUCCUACAUAUUCUAUGAAGAUCUUUAUCGGUCAAACCGCAUAACAACAUACGUUGUUCCCUUUGUCAUCGGUAUGUUACUUGCCCGAGAUUCUAUCGUCUGUAUCUCAAUACCUAGUUCAAUCUCGUUACCGGCAAGUCUCUUUACUCGUUAUGUAAUGCAUCAUUCCGUAACUAACUCAUUAGUUACAUUGCUUGCAAGGCUUAUAGUGAUGUGCAUUACCGAGAGGGCCCAGAGAUACCUCUCCGACAAUCGGAGUGACAAAACCUAAUCUCGAAAUACGCCACUCAACAUGUACCUUUGGAGACACCUGUAGAGCUCUUUUAUAAUCACCCAGUUACGUUGUGACGUAUGGUAGCACACAAAGUGUUCCUCCGGUAAACGGGAGUUGCAUAAUCUCAUAGUUGUAGGAACAUGUAUAAGUCAUGAAGAAAGCAAUAGCAACAUACUAAACGAUCAAGUGCUAAGCUAACAGAAUGGGUCAAGCCAAUCACAUCAUUCUCGUAAUGAUGUGAUCCCGUUAAUCAAAUGACAACUCAUGUCUAUGGCUAGGAAACACAACCAUCUUUGAUUCAAUGAGCUAGUCAAGUAGAGGCAUACUAGUGACAUUAUGUUUGUCUAUGUAUUCACACAUGUAUCAAGUUUCCGGUUAAUACAAUUCUAGCAUGAAUAAUAAACAUUUAUCAUGAAAUAAGGAAAUAAAUAAUGACUUAAAUAUUGCCUCUAGGGCAUAUUUCCUUCAGUCUCCCACUUGCACUAGAGUCAAUAAUCUAGUUCACACCGCAAUGUGAUUUAACACUAAUAUUCACAUAUGUAUGUGAUUAAUACCCAUAGUUCACAUCGUCAUGUGAUCAACACCCAAAGGGUUUCUAGAGUCAAUAAUCUAGUUCACAUCCCUAUGUGAUUAACAACCAAAGAGUACUAAGGUAUGAUCAUGUUUUACUCAUGAGAGAAGUUUAGUCAACGGGUCUAUCACAUUCAGAGCCGUAUGUAUUUUGCAAAUAUUCUAUGUCUACAAUGCUCUGUACGAAGCUACUCUAGCUAAUUCCUCCCACUUUCAAUAUGUAUCCAGAUUGAGACUUAGAGUCAUCUGGAUUGGCGUAAAAGCUUGCAUCAUUGUAACCUUUUACGAUGAGCCCUUUUAUCACUUCCAUUAUCGAGAAAUAUUUCCUUAGUCCUCACUAAGGAUAUUCUUGACCGUUGUUCAGUGAUCUACUCUUAGAUCAAAAUUGUACUCCCUUGCCAAACUCAGAACAAAGUAUACAAUAGGUACAUAACAUAGCAUAAUUUAUAGAACCUAUGACUAAGGCAUAGGGAAUGACUUUUCAUUCUCUUUCUAUUUUUUGCCAUGGUCGGGUUUUGAGUCUUACUCAACUUUCACACCUUGCAAUACAGGCAAGAACUCCUUCUUUGACUGAUCCAUUUUGAACUACUUCAAAAACUUAUUAAGGUAUGCACUCAUUGAAAAAUCCUAUCAAGCGUCUUGAUCUAUCUCUAUAGAUCUUGAUGCUCAAUGUGUAAGCAGCUUCACUGAGGUGUUUCAUUGAGAAACUCUUAUUCAAGUAUCCUUUUAUGCUUUCCAAAAAAAUUCUACAUUAUUUCCGAUCAACAAUAUGUUAUUCACAUAUACUUAUCAGAAAUGUUGUAGUGCUCCCACUCACUUUCUUGUAAAUAGAGGCUUCACUGAAGUCCGUAUAAAACUAUAUGCUUUGAUCAACUUAUCAAAGCGUAUAUUCCAACUCCGAGAUGCUUGCACCAGUCCAUAGAUGGAUCGCUGGAGCUUGCACAUUUUGUUAGCACUUUUAGGAUUGACAAAACCUUCUGGUUGCAUCAUAUACAACUCUUCUUUAAGAAAACCAUUAAGGAAUGCAGUUUUGACAUCCAUUUGCCAGGUUUCAUAAAAUAUGGCAAUUGCUAACAUGAUUCGGACAGACUUAAGCAUCGCUACAGUUGAGAAAAUCUCAUUGUAGUUAACACCUUGAACUUGUCGAAAACCUUUUUGCGACAAGUCGAGCUUUGUAGAUAGUAACACUACUAUCAACGUCUAUCUUCCUCUUGAAGAUCCAUUUAUUUAUGGCUUGCCGAUCAUUGGGAAAGUCCACCAAAGUCCACACUUUGUUCUCAUACAUGGAUCCUAUCUCAGAUUUCAUGGCCUCCAGCCAUUUCGCGGAAUCUGGGCUCAUCAUCGCUUCCUCAUAGUUCGUAGGUUUAUCAUGGCCUAGUAACAUGACUUUCAGAACAGGAUUACCAUACCACUCUGGUGUGGACCGUACUCUGGAAGACCUACGAGGUUCUAUAGUAACUUGAUCUGAAGUUUCAUGAUCAUCAUCAUUAGCUUCCUCACUAAUUGGUGUAGGAAUCACUGGAACUGAUUUCAGUGAUGAACUGUUUUCCAAUUCGGGAGAAGGUACUAUUACCUUAUCAAGUUCUACUUUUCUCCCACUCACUUCUUUCGAGAGAAACUUCUUCUCUAGAAAGGGUCCAUUCUUGGCAACGAAUGUCUUGCCUUCGGAUCUGUGAUAGAAGGUGUACCCAACAGUUACUUUUGGGUAUUCUAUGAAGAUGCACUUCUCCGAUUUAGGUUUGAGCUUAUCAGGAUGAAACUUUUUCACCUAAGCAUCCCAACCUCAAACUUUAAGAAACGACAGCUUAGGUUUCUUGCUAAACCAUAGUUCAUAUGGUGUCGUCACAAUGGAUUUAGAUGGUGCCCUUUUAACGUGAAUGCAGCUAUCUCUAAUGCAUAACCCCAAAACGAUAGUGGUAAAUCAGUAAGAGACAUCAUAGAUUGCACCAUAUCCAAUAAAGUGCGGUUACGAUGUUCGGACACACCAUAAUGUUGUGGUGUUCCAGGUGGCAUGAACUGUGAAACUAUUCCACUUUUUUUUAAUUGAAGACCAAACUCAUAACUCAAAUAUUCAUCUCCACGAUCAGAUCGUAGAAACUUUAUUUUCUUGUUACGGUGAUUUUCCACUUCACUCUGAAAUUCUUUGAACCUUUCAACUAUUUCAGACUUAUGUUUCAUCAAGUAGAUAUACCCAUAUCUUCUCAAAUCAUCUGUGAAGGUCAGAAAAUAACGAUACCCGCCACGAGCCUUAAUACUCAUUGGUCUGCAUACAUCAGUAUGUAUUAUUUCCAACAAGUCAGUAGCUCGUUCCAUUGUUCUGGAGAACGGAGUUUUAGUCAUCUUGCCCAAAAGGCACGGUUCGCAAGCAUCAAAUGAUUCAUAACCAAGUGAUUCCGAAAAUCCAUCUUUAUGGAGUUUCUUCAUGCGCUUUACACCGAUAUGACCCAAACGAUAGUGCCACAAAUAAGUUGCACUAUCAUUAUUGACUUUGCAUCUUUUGGCAUCAAUAUUAUGAAUAUGUGUAUCACUACGAUCGAGAUCCAAUAAACUAUUUUCAUUGGGUGUAUGACCAUUGAAGGUUUUAUUCAUGUAAACAAAACAACAAUUAUUCUUUGACUUUAAAUGAAUAAUCGUAUUGCAAUAAACAUGAUCAAAUUAUAUUCAUGCUCAACGCAAAUGCUAAAUAACAUUUAUUUAGGUUUAACACUAAUCCCGAUAGUAUAGGGAGUGUGUGAUGAAUAUCAUAUCAAUCUUGGAACUACUUCCAACACUCAUCGUCACUUCCCCUCAACUAGUCUCAGUUUAUUAUGUAACUCCUGUUUCGAGUUACUAAUCUUAGCAACCCAACAAGUAUCAAAUACUCAGGGGCUACUAUAAACACUAGUAAGGCACACAUCAAUAACCUGUAUAUCAAAUAUGCCCUUGUUCACUUUGCCAUCCUUCUUAUCCACCAAAUAUUCAGGGCAUUUCCGCUUUCAGUGAUCAUUUACUUUGUAGUAGAAGCACUCAAAUUCAGGCUUUGGUCCAGCUUUAGGCUUCUUCACGGGAGUGACAACUUGCUUGUCAUUCUACUUGAAGUUCCCUUUCUUUCCCUUUGCCUUUUCUUGAAACUAGUGUUCUUGUCAAUCAUCAACACUUGAUGCUCUUUCUUGAUUUCUACCUUCGUCGAUUUCAACAUCACAAAGAGCUCGGGAAUUGUUUUCGUCAUCCCUUGCAUACUAUAGUUCUUCACGAAGUUCUAGCAACUUGGUGAUGGUGACUAGAGAACUUUGUCAAUCACUAUCUUAUCUAGAAGAUUAACUCCCACUUGAUUCAAGCGAUUGUAGUACCCAGACAAUCUGAGUACAUGCUCACUGCUUGAGCUAUUCUCCUCCAUCUUUUAGCUAUAGAACUUGUUGGAGACUUCAUAUCUCUUAACUCGGGUAUUUGCUUGAAAUAUUAACUUCAACUCUUGGAACAUCUCAUAUGUUCCAUGAUGUUCAAAACGUCUUUGAAGUCCCGAUUCUAAGCCGUUAAGCAUGGUGCACUAAACUAUUAAGUAGUCAUCAUAUUGAGCUAGCCGAACGUUCAUAAUGUCUGCAUCUGCUCCUGCAAUAGGUAUGUCACCUAGCGGUGCAUCAAGGACAUAACUCUUCUGUGCAGCAAUGAGGACAAUCCUCAUAUCACAGAUCCAAUCCGCAUCAUUGCUACUAACAUCUUUCAACACAGUUUUCUCUAGGAACAUAUCAAAAUAAACAUAGGGAAGCAACAACGCGAGCUAUUGAUCUACAACAUAAUUUGCAAAAUACUACCAGGACUAAGUUCAAGAUAAAUUUAAGUUCAAUUAAUCAUAUUACUAAAGAACUCCCACUUAGACAGACGUCUCUGUAGUCAUCUAAGUGAUCACGUGAUCCAAAUCAACUAAACCAUGUCCGAUCAUCACGUGAGAUGGAGUAGUUUUCAAUGGUGAACAUCACUAUGUUGAUCAUAUCUACUAUAUGAUUCACGUUCGACCUUUCGGUGUCCGUGUUCCGAGGCCAUAUCUGUAUAUGCUAGGCUCGUCAAGUUUAACCUAAGUAUUCUGCGUGUGCAACACUUUUGCACCCGUUGUAUUUGAACAUAGAGCCUAUCACACCCGAUCAUCACGUGGUGUCUCAGCAUGAAGAACUUUCACAAUGGUGCAUACUCAGGGAGAACACUUCUUGAUAAUUAGUGAGAGAUCAUCUUAUAAUGCUACCGUCAAUCAAAGCAAAAUAAGAUGCAUAAAGGAUAAACAUCACAUGCAAUCAAUAUAAGUGAUAUGAUAUGGCCAUCAUCAUCUUGUGCUUGUGAUCUCCAUCUCCGAAGCACCGUCGUGAUCACCAUCGUCACCGGCGCGACACCUUGAUCUCCAUCGUAGCAUCAUUGUCGUUUCGCCAUAUAUUGCUUCUAUGACUAUCGCUACCGCUUAGUGAUAAAGUAAAGCAAUUACAGGGCGCUUGCAUUUCAUACAAUAAAGCGACAAGCAUAUGGCUCCUGCCAGUUGCCGAUAACUCGGUUACAAAACAUGAUCAUCUCAUACAAUAAAAUAUAGCAUCAUGUCUUGACCAUAUCACAUCACAACAUGCCCUGAAAAAACAAGUUAGACGUCCUCUACUUUGUUGUUGCAAAUUUUACGUGGCUGCUACGGGCUGAGCAAGAACUGUUCUUACCUACGCAUCAAAACCACAACUAUAGUUUGUCAAGUUAGUGUUGUUUUAACCUACGCAAGGACCGGGCGUAGCCACACUCGGUUCAACUAAAGUUGGAGAAACUGACACCCGCCAGCCACCUGUGUGCAAAGCACGUCGAGAGAACCAGUCUCGCGUAAGUGUACGCGUAAUGUCGCUCCGGGCCACUUCAUCCAACAAUACCGCCGAACCAAAGUAUGACAUGCUGGUAAGCAGUAUGACUUGUAUCGCCCACAACUCACUUGUGUUCUACUCGUGCAUAUAACAUCUACGCAUAAAACCAGGCUCUGAUGCCACUGUUGGGGAACGUAGUAAUUUCAAAAAAUAUCCUACGCACAUGCAAGAUCAUGGUGAUGCAUAGCAACGAGAGGGAAGAGUGUUGUCCACGUACCCUCGUAGACCGAAAGCGGAAGCGUUAGAACAAUGCGGUUGAUGUAGUCGUACGUCUUCACAGCCCGACCGAUCAAGCACCGAAACUACUGCACCUCCGAGUUCAAGCACACGUUCAGCUCGAUGACGUCCCUCGAACUCCGAUCCAGCCGAGUGUCAAGGGAGAGUUCCGCCAGCACGACGGCGUGGUGAAGAUCUUGAUGUUCUACCCUCGCAGGGCUUCGCUUAAGCACCGCUACAAUAUUAUCGAGGAGGACUAUGGUGGAGGGGGGCACCGCACACGGCUAAGAGAUCAAGAGAUCAAUUGUUGUAUCUAUGGGGUGCCCCCCUCCCCCGUAUAUAAAGGAGUGGAGGAGGGGGCCGGCCAAGGGGGGUGGCGCACCCUAGGGGGAGUCCAACUCCCACCGGGAGUAGGACUUCCCCCUUUCCUAUUAGGAGAGGGAGAGGGAAGGAAGAGGAAGGAGGGAGGAAGGAAAGGGGGGCCGGCCCCCUCCCAAUUCAGAUUGGGCUUGGGGGGGGUGCCCCCUCCCUUGCUCCUUUCCCCUCCUUUCCACUAAGGCCCAAUAAGGCCCAUAUACUUCCCGGGGGGUUCCGAUAACCUCCCGGAGCUCCGGUAUUGUCCCAAUCUCACCCGGAACCUUUCCGGUGUCCAAAUAUAGUCGUCCAAUAUAUUGAUCUUUAUGUCUCGACCAUUUCAAGACUCCUCGUGAUGUCUGUGAUCACAUCCGGGACUCCGAACAACCUUCGGUACAUCAAAACUCAUAAACUCAUAAUAUAACUGUCAUCGAAACCUUAAGCGUGCGGACCCUACGGGUUCGAGAACUAUGUAGACAUGACCGAGACACGUUUCUGGUCAAUAACCAAUAGCGGAACCUGGAUGUUCAUAUUGGCUCCUACAUAUUCUAUGAAGAUCUUUAUCGGUCAAACUUCAUAACAACAUACGUUGUUCCCUUUGUCAUCGGUAUGUUACUUGCCCGAGAUUCGAUCGUCGGUAUCUCAAUACCUAGUUCAAUCUCAUUACCGGCAAGUCUCUUUACUCGUUAUGUAAUGCAUCAUUCUGUAACUAACUCAUUAGUUACAUUGCUUGCAAGGCUUAUAGCGAUGUGCAUUACCGAGAGGGCCCAGAGAUACUUCUCUGACAAUUGGAGUGCCAAAACGUAAUCUCGAAAUACGCCAACUCAACAUGUACCUUUGGAGACACAUGUAGAGCUCCUUUAUAAUCACCAAGUUACGUUGUGACGUUUGGUAGCACAGAAAGUGUUCCUCCGGUAAACGGGAGUUGCAUAAUCUCAUAGUUGUAGGAACAUGUAUAAGUCAUGAAGAAAGCAAUAGCAACAUACUAAACGAUCAAGUGCUAAGCUAAUAGAAUGGGUCAAGUCAAUCACAUCAUUCUCCUAAUGAUGUGAUCCCAUUAAUCAAAUGACAACUCAUGUCUAUGGCUAGGAAACACAACCAUCUUUGAUUCAAUGAGCUAGUCAAGUAGAGGCAUACUAGUGACAUUAUGUUUGUCUAUGUAUUCACACAUGUAUCAAGUUUCCGGUUAAUACAAUUCUAGCGUGAAUAAUAAACAUUUAUCAUGAAAUAAGGAAAUAAAUAAUAACUUUAUUAUUGCCUCUAGGGCAUAUUUCCUUCAAAAAUGCCCCCCAGGAAACCACUAGGGCCACCGUAAUCUCCUCAUGCCCUUGCACAAUGCAAGAUGCCAUGAUUCCACUAAGGGACCCUUGAGGGCAGUUAUCGAACCCGUACAAAUGGCAACCCUAGGGGGAGGUCACCGAACCCGUACACUUUGGCAACCCUUGGGGCGGUCACUGGAACCCGUACAAAUUCCUCGGUGCAAUCUCCACAACCUAAUUGGAGACCCCGACGCUUGCCCGGAGCUUUACACCACAAUGAUUGAGCUCCGAGACACCACAAACCAUCUAGGACGCCCAAGCACCCAAGAGGAACAAGCUCUAGGGUACCAAGCACCCAAGAGUAAUAAGCUUCUCAACUUUUCACUUCCACGUAUCAACAUGGAGAACUCAAAUUGAUGCAACUAGUGCAAAGGCAAGGGCACACGAAGUGCCCAAGUCCCUCACUCUCAAAUCCCAUCAAAGCAACAAAAGCUAUGAAGGAAAAUGGGAGGAAGAACAAGAAGGAGAACACCAAGAACUCCAAGAUCUGGAUCCAAGGGGUUCCCCUCACAUAGAGGAGAAAGUGAUUGAGGAAAUGUGGAUCUAGAUCUCCUCUCUCUCUUUCCCCCCAGAAAAUAGCAAGAAUCCAUUGAUUAAUUGAGAGAUAGCCAGCUCGAAGAAGUUCAACAAUGGGGGAAGAACACGAGCUCAAAGGAUAAGAUGCAAUGGGGAAGAAGACCCCCUUUUAUAGGCCUCUCCAAAUCCAACUGUUAUGCACACAGCCCAUGCACAAGCGGUAGUACCGCUCGGGCGAGCGGUACUUCCACUGGCAUGGUAGUUUCAUCCAUAAUGAGCAACUAAGAAACUCAAGGAGGCGGUAGUGCUACCGAAGCGGUACUACCGCUCCCAUACUACCGCUAGGCGUUGCGUGUAUAGGUGAAACACCGAUAGUAUAGUAGAGCAGCGCGGUACUACCACCCACUACUGCCGCUCUACUUCCGCACAGAGGAAAAUGUAUCCAGAGGCUAAAAUAUAAUCGGAAGUAGCAGCGGUAGUGAAGGGACCGUGGUACCGCUUAUAAGCGGUACUACCGCCCACUAUUGCUGCUCUACUUCCGCUUGAAGGAAUACAAAGAGCAAAACAUAAGCGGUACUCCAUGCGGUAGCUCAUAGUGUAAGUACCGCAUAAGCGGUACUACCGUGGAGCUGGCCGGAACUACCGCUUGGGAGCUAAAAACUGCCCAAGCACAAAAGGAUGCAAGCGAGACCGAAACUGCCAUAACUUCUGCAAAUGAACUCUGAAUUGAGCAAACUCAAGCUUGUUGGAUAGAUGACGACAAAUAGUAAGAAGUGGCAGGGCAAGUAUGCCUAUUAUAUAUAGGAAUGAAACCUCUAUCAGUGAAGAACCAUCAUAUACUCCCACAUCAAAAACAUCAUAGAGGAUGCACAUGAACUCUGUUUCGAAGAACUCGAGCUUGUCAUGAAGAUGACCAUAAGCUAUAAAACUCACAAAGAGAAACACCAAAUAAGAACCAAGAAAGAUGAUGCAAGGAUGCAAUGGUUUGAGCUCUCUACGAACGAUAUGAUCAAGCUACUAACUUGAGAGCCCCCCCUUGAUAGUAUGACAAUCGAUCAUAUAACCCGGUCUCCCAACUACCACCAUGAGACCGGUAAAAUAGAAAACCUAUCAAGGGCAAACCUUUGCCUUGCACAUAGUCCACUUGAGAUAGAUGAUGACGAUCUUGACUUCCACAAGUUGGACCAUGAUAACCCACAAGUAUAGGGGAUUACAGUAGUUUUCGAGGGUAGAGUCACUACUAGGAAAAGGCCUGCUAGUGGCGCACCUGUUUUGGCUACUAAUGGCGCACUACAGGUUCGCCAGUAGCAUCACGCCAUUAGUAAUUAAUACUAAUGGCGCACCCCUGGUGCGCCAUUAGUAUACCAGAUACUAAUGGCGCACCAGAGAGUGUGCCAUUAAUAUAUCACACGGUGCGCCAUUAGUAUGCCUCCCAGGGGGCCAUAUUUACCCAUGUGCUCUGGCUUACUAAUGGCGCACUUGUAGAUGAUGUGCCACUAGUGUGCUUGUUGCAGUGCGCCACUAAAGUGCAGAGUGGUGUGCCACUAGUAUGAAUAUUAGGGAUUUUUUUUCUUUUCUGAUAUUUGCACAUGUUACAAAACAUAUUACUGCACAGAAUAUAGACAACACAACAUAUAAACAGCAGAUUUAUCGAAUACAAUAGAAGAUUAGUCUCCAAAUACAAUUCAUCAUAUUAGUCUCCGAAUUUAAAAUACCAAACAAAGUUAGAACAUUACAAGUCUCGAGACUGCGAGUAGCGGGUUUGUCUUCACAUUACAAGUCGAUAUCGAUCAUCUAAACUACCAUCACAUAGAAGAGAGCUGCGGUCAUCACGAUGAGCAUCAUCACGAUGAAACUGGUCUUCAACCGGUUCCUCCAACGCUCCCUCCUCUCUCCCGCUAGAUAGCGUGUGUAUCUAACUUCCACCUCCGCCCUAGUGGUGUACCCUUUGUAACUGUUAUCGCUGAAACAGUGAACCUGUCUCCAACACUCCUCCCAGUCGUCGUAGACUCCGGGAACCUUACCCUUGUACACAACAUACGAUGACAUAUCUAUGCACUAGCUAAACAAAAUGUUAGUAGCAAUUCACAGACAAUACAUAAGCAAUAUAUAAGUAUGCAACAAAAGGAUCGGAAGAGAAAAGCAACACAUUAAUAGCACGAUUCAUGGUCCUACUAAUAAAUAGCAUCGAUUACAUAUAAGUUGAACGACUAUCCAAACCAAAGAGACAUACAAGUUCAUUAAAGUUUAAUAUUACAACAUGAGCCAAUCGACAUUUCAGAACUACAUAGCAUCACUACUUUCGACUCGACUCAGGGACCGGAGGGUGGAUGAAGCCGCCGUCUUUCGUGAUGGUCAUGAAAUUGCGGGCGUUGUCAGCCUGCAUUUGUAGCAUUGUUUCUAUCUCACUGUUGGACAGUUGAUAUCUGAGGUAGAACUGCCCCGAGGUACGAAGGACAUCUUGAUGGAUGAUUUUCGCAAACUCCGACUGGAUGCGAUAGAAUUCUUGUCUGAUGUCUGCGUCCUGGAUUGCCGACAAGCGUGUGGCCCCGUACGAUCGCCCACAUGUGAUGGAGGGCAUAGUAGGCAUCCUUUUGACUUCCAGGCGGCUGAUUGACGUAGAGGAACAUCGUAUUGUGGGUGAACAUGUGCUUGCCGUACCUACGAAUUGUCCUGGUGAAGGUGCCUCCAGAUCUGGCGUAGCCGGGAAGAACAUCAUCAAGAACUUUCUUGAUAUUUGUGUAGUCUUUCUUCGACUGACGGUCUGAGUCGAAAUACAUGGCCAUGGAAUAUUUCAGGCUUAAGAGGAUGAGUGUGCAACAUGUGUCACUGCACAAAACACGGAAUGUUAGAAAAAAAAGAACGAUCAAAAUCUAAGAAAUCAUAUGUUACGGGGCGGUGAGGGGAUGACUUACUCGGGAAAGUAAGGCACGAGGAAGUUAUCCUUAUCUGGGUUUGCCAGAAUGACGCCUUCGAGGUGUGAACUCGCGACUUGCCGGUCCCCAGCGCUGCCCAAGAUCUUGGCACGCAUGUAGAAGGGGUCGACUAUCACGAUGUCCGGGGUCUUGUAUCUAAUAAUCCGCAUCUCCAUACUCAGCGAAAAUAGCCGAAUGAAGGUGUAGUGCAGCGGAUGAAGGUUAAACAUAGUGAAGAUGUCAUCAAACCACAGGACGAUUGUACCCCCGAUGGCGCUAUCCACAAAGCCCUUGCCCUCUGGCACCUUGGCCACAAAAAUCGGGUAUGCCACAUCAUUCUCGAAAAGACGCUGCUUCUCCAAAGAAAGAACACUGUCAUGCAGACUCUGCAUAGCACCGGUUGCAGCAUUGAGCAGAUUAGUCGGUAGCAUCGGCCUACCCGCCACAUGCACCCUCCUCGAGAUAUCCUUAGGUGAAGGUGGCCCGUCCUGAGAACGGAUCGUACUCGGUGCCGGCUGGCUCGCACCGCCCUUGUUAUUCUUUUGUUUCCGUCCCAUCUUCUUCUGAUGUAAUGGGAUCGAGUUCUGCUCAGAGACCGCCUUCUUGAGUGUGUUGGGGCUGAUAAUAUUUCGCACCUCAACUAUCUGAGGCUCGGUGAAGGCGGCAGCUGGAGGUGUCUCCUGAGAACUAAACGCCAGAUGACGCCUGUUGCAAUUGGGUUUCUCCGUGGUACCAGCUAGACUGCGGUCGUCUUUUGCAGGGUUGGGUUCUUGAGAAGGAGGCCCCAAGAAUUCGUCACUAUACCCAUGUUCGGCAAAGUACUUAUCAACGUUGGUAAAUGUAUCGUCGUUGUCAUCGUCGUCGUUUGGAUCCUGUGCCAUAUGCAUGUCCGGCAUGUCCAGUAGCGUUGCGGCGGUCUUGCCAUGGCUUGGCACCGGCACGACUAGCGGUGUUGUCCGUGGGGUGCUGUCCCCCGCCCCCAAACGAAUUUGGCUCUUCAGCCAAAGCAGGGGCCAGCUUACGCAGGCGCUGAGGGUCAUCAAAUCAUCUUCGUCGGCCCCAGUGGGUCGAAUCAGAGGUAAAAACUCGUCGUAGCCUGGCAGCACCCGAACCAGUUCAACCAUAUACACGGUGGGUGGCAUCGGAUUACCGUGGAACACGGGGUUGCCCGGUUGAACGAUUCUGCCCUUGGCAACAUCGAUCAACUCGCCGCCCACGAAGUGCAGGAGAGUGCAUGGAAUGUCGGCGGCACCCUGUGAAAACAUGUAGGGCGUCAGGGAUGCCCAGUCAAAGGCAAGGAGAUGAAGUCAUCGGCCGAGAGGCUUAGUUACCGUGAUGGCGUCGAUCUCGGCUAAUGUCGAGGCACCGCCAAUGGCGGGCAUGCAACUGACGGAGGGGCCGCUUGCUGCCGAGGUGCCGGCCGGCGUACACCCGGGUGCAUUAAGCUCCAAUGCCCGUGCCGGCGCCGGAGACACCAAUACCGCCUCCGCCAGAGACACCAAUGGCGCCACCUGCGCGUUGUGCGCGUUGCUGGCCGUGAAGCUGGGAACCGGGGGCGGCCCCUGUUGGCCGCCCACAAUCCACGCCUGCAGCCCCUCAAUCAAGGUAGGCACAAUGGCGGUGAGCGUCGUUCCCAGUUGGUGUUGCACUAGCUCUUGGACCAUCUCCGGAAUCCGCACCACUUGUGCCUUGAGUUCUUGAACCUUGCGCGACUGGCUUUCUGAGCUGGUCUUUCUCUCCUUUCGCCCACCUGCGUUAUAGUAUGACGACCAUUUUGUGGACAAGCCUUUGUCGGCCACACGACCAGCUGAUGACGGCUUACUGAACUUAUCCUUGUUUUUCAUUAUGUUGAACGCCCUAUUUAAAGUGUUGUCCCAAGGGGAGCUCUGAGACGACCCCGCGCUACUGCUUUCAGUCUCCCGCGGAAGGAAUGUGAACCAUUUAGAAAUUUGGCUUCAUUAAUUAGAAUGCAACCAUAUGGAGCUAAUUACGCGGGGGUGUAUUCCUUACCAGAACACGCUCAAGCGCCUUGGUCUUCGCAUCCGUGGUAAGCUCCUUUGUUACUGGGUCCUCCUUGUACCGGUCCCUGACAUAGUUCCUGGUCUGCUUGUCACAGUAUUUCUCGAAGCGGGGCGGUAGGCCUUGCUCGGCACGCUCCGCAUCCUCCUUGUCCCAUAUAAGUUCCGCCACUCUGUAACCGCCGGGACCGAGUUGGUGGACCCCUAAAUUCAAGUCCCGCAUUUCUUUCCUCCACUGACUUGAUUCCACGGUCGUGCUUCUCUCACACUUGAUCUUGAACUCCUUGUAGUCAUCUUCGUUGAUCGAAGGAUUUUUCGCCUUGAUCUUCUCAUAACUAUCACCUUUGUCAAUCAUUCUCUUCACCGCGCUUCUCCAAGUAGACAGGGCCGUGCUCAUCUUCAUGAGGGCGGCACUGUUCACUUUAUUCCCUGAGAGGCGUUUGUUUGCAAAAUCAGCGGGGAACUUGUAUCGUUCGUGUAGCUUCAUGAAGAGGAGGCUGCGCAAAUUCCCUCGGUCAGGAUGCCUUAGGUUCUCGGUGUUGAUCGAGACGGUGCUCCGAAGAAUGCACCCGAGCUGAACCGAGUACCCCUUGACUAAUUCUUUGGGCACCGUUGGAUGCCCGUCGGAGGACACUUCAGUAAAUUCCUCCUUGACGGUGCCGAGCAUGUUCGGGCGCCGGUCCUUCUGUUGCCUCUUUGGUUGGCUGCCAUCUGUGUGUGCGCUGCCAUCAUCAGUGGUGGCAUCCUCGGCGGCACCAUCAGUGGUGUCAUCCCCGACGCCACUAGGGGUUGUGUAGUCAGGAUCGGUGUCUUCCGCGGCAUCCUCAUAGCGGUGAGGUUCUUCCUCCAUCUCUUGGGACAGCUCACAGAAUUGCUUGCCCGAACCGCCGGCCUCAUCGUUGUGGGCCAUGUUUUGCUCUAAAUAGGAAAGAAGUUUGGUCAAAAAGUUGGUUAUUGUCAAGGAACAAGAUCAUGGUCUCAUCAUUUAGGAUUUAUCGACAUCGAGGCAUCCUAAAAGCUAAGCUUUUAUCGUUUAGGGUUUGUCGACGCCGUGGCACCCUAAAAGCCUAAGCUUUCAUCAUUUAAGUUUUUAUCGACACCGAGGCACCCUAAAAGCCAAGGUUUUAUAAUUUAGGGUUUGUCGACGCUGAGGCACCCUAAAUGCUAAGUUAAGUUUUCAUCAUUUAGGGUUUAUCGAUGCCGAGGCACCCUAGGUUGACUGAUAUAUAUGGGUAUCUUCUAAUAAUAUACCCUAUCAAGAAAAGGGAAGGAUAAUUCUAAGUUGGGCCAAAUCACUUGGCUCUAUUACCACCUAUGGUUUAAUGCAGCAAGAAUAAAGGGGCAGUUGAUCCUACUUAAUUAAGUACUAAGAUACCCCGACCCAUGCAUUAGUCGCAAGUACCCCAUAUGUCCUAUUUUUAGCAAAGUCAUGCUAAAAUUCACGGAAAAUUUCAGCAUGACCUUUGCUGAAAAUAGGACAUAUGGAGUACCCAAAUUUGCCGGAACGGAAGUUAAUCGACAUUCCGGCAAACUCAAGGGCCUCUCAGGGUACCUGCAAAAUCAUUAUCCCCGCGUAAUGAAGUAGCCAAUGGGUCAUUUCAAAAUAUCACAAGUAGCAUCAUCACAAGUACAACAUCAUCACAAGUACAGCAGCAGUAGCAGUGAAUACAGGCAUAACAGCAGCAGCAACAGGUUUAUUCUUCUUCUUCAUAAACACUAGUUGUCUAAUUGAGCAAUACAGCGACAGUGUGAACAAAUAAAAACACAAACUACACCUACAUAUUUGGGUACCUCUAUGGUAGUAACAUGCCAUGCUCUGCCUAGAGCUACUGCAGCAAUCAUUGUUAUACAUUUCUCUGAAUAGUAUAUAUGGCUUGAAAUGGCAGAACAGGUUACAGUAAUUAGAUGAAUGAAAUGCAUAAGUGUCGAAUCAAAACAAUAUAAAAAAUACCAUGUUCCCUAUGCUGUUUUGAUACACGAUAUGGGUGAAGUGACAUGACACUUCCAAAAACAAGGAUACAACAAUCACUGGUCCCAAAUGAUAAUACAAGGUGGUGUAGAUCUCUAAGGAGCGGCAUUAAAAGGGAAGGGCAUGCGGCAAGAUGCCAUCAAGCUCCCAGCAACAAUGGUCGGGGAGCAUGUCCACAUUAUGCAUGAGAGGAAGGCUUGUAUACAUUAUAAAGUAUGUUUUAAAUAUUUAAACAUCGACAUGAUUCAGAUACUGAGAAAAAUAGAAUGGAAUCAUUGUUAUAGGAUGCAACAGCUAUGACAACUCACUGAAGUAUCAGGGAAAUCUUUACCUAGCAACACAAGUUAAUAGGCUGAUAUUUUCUCCAUAUUUUUAUUGAAAAGGAAGUUCAAACCUCCUGGCAGUCACAAGUGACAGGAGCUGUGCCUACCACUAGGAUGACCACUUUAAUUUUUUUGCUUCUUUUUUUGAGAUAGAAGCACUUUCAGUCUCAGAAACAAAGAUCACACAGCUUUAUAAAAUCAACUUUACAGGAAGUAUUCGUGUAAGGAAACAUUAAUAAGUAUCUAAGUGUUUUUAGUUCAUUUUAUACAAAAGACAAACAACAACCCUUUUCUUUUGCAUCGGAAGAAAAUUCUAGUACUAUGUGAUAAGCUUUAGAAAAUGGAGUACUUACAGCAACUAUGCAGGCAAUCAAUCCAGGCUUCUCCCGGUGAUCCAAAGAAACAAAGAAUAGAAGAAAAGCACCAAUAUACCAGAGAAUUGCAGCCAAGAAGAACCCUAGUAAGAACCUUCAAAACAAAACCAACCUAAAGUCUUUAAUAUGGAUUGAUUGUGCUUUCAUUUUAAAUUUGCAGGUAAGAACAAUGAACUUAUAGAAACUCCUUAAUAUGAAUAUUAUACCGAUGAUAAAAGAUGUCAGAUUACUAGUAGAUAGCAAAGCAGUAGACAACACACUCAGAAGUAACCAUGCCAGUUUAGGAUAAUCCUCUGCUGAUGCAUCAACUUAUAUCCUAAUCCAAUUCCAGUACCAUUUGAUCGCACCAUAUAUUAUAAAUAUGGCCAUGGGCCCUUACCAACCUGACCAAUACGAGUACUAGCACCUCACAAAUUCUCACUAGCAAGCAUAUCUUCCAAAUGCUGCUCGCCGAACUUGUUAAUGAAACAGUUACUCAUGCAAUCCCCCAUUCACAUACCAAGUACUCAUACAGUCGUACUGAACCAAGUGCUCAUGUUGUUACCUUCUUCAAGAGCUUCCUAAUUUUGCCACACCGAUCACAUUGGAGACAAACACCACCAAAAUGAAGGACACUUACAAAGCCCAGCCAACGCCGACGCCAUAGAACGGCAGUCGCGGCUCCCGGACUGGGAGGCCCUCCACCAAGACCUGCUGUUGGAUAGUGCACGGGAAAGCAACAACGCCCUGAGCAGGAAAGUGCUGCUGGAUAGUGCAGAGGCAGGGAAGUGUUAGUACCUGUAGAGAAACCUAGGGGGAAGGAGGGGAGGAGAGAGGAGGAAUCACCUAGAGGAGAACGGCAGGCAGCUGUAGGAGGACGCUGGCGUCGAGGAGGCUGCGGGCGGUGGCGCGUCGAGGAGGCGGCACGUUCUUGCUUCCCCAAGGACCGAGACGGCGAGGCGGGCCGGUGGCAGCGUUGGAACCCUAGCGUUGUUCGGUCGGAGCACCUCGUCGGAGAGGGCGCGACGGUCAUCAGAGCGAGCGAGAGGGUCGUCAGAGCGGGUGUGGAGCGGGCGCAGGGAUCAUCGGAGCGGGUGUGGCGAGGGAGGGAAGGGGGAUCUGGCGAGGGAGGGACGAAGGGGGAUCGGGCGAAGGGGGGAUUAGCUAGAGGGGGGAAGGUUAGUAAUGGCGCACCCCCUAGCGGUGCGCCAUUAGUAAUCUUUUUUUGGAUAGCGAUGUCGCACCUCCUGGCAGUGCACCAUUAGUAAUCUUUUUUUGGAUAGNNNNNNNNNNNNNNNNNNNNNNNNNNNNNNNNNNNNNNNNNNNNNNNNNNNNNNNNNNNNNNNNNNNNNNNNNNNNNNNNNNNNNNNNNNNNNNNNNNNNNNNNNNNNNNNNNNNNNNNNNNNNNNNNNNNNNNNNNNNNNNNNNNNNNNNNNNNNNNNNNNNNNNNNNNNNNNNNNNNNNNNNNNNNNNNNNNNNNNNNNNNNNNNNNNNNNNNNNNNNNNNNNNNNNNNNNNNNNNNNNNNNNNNNNNNNNNNNNNNNNNNNNNNNNNNNNNNNNNNNNNNNNNNNNNNNNNNNNNNNNNNNNNNNNNNNNNNNNNNNNNNNNNNNNNNNNNNNNNNNNNNNNNNNNNNNNNNNNNNNNNNNNNNNNNNNNNNNNNNNNNNNNNNNNNNNNNNNNNNNNNNNNNNNNNNNNNNNNNNNNNNNNNNNNNNNNNNNNNNNNNNNNNNNGCGGUGGAGCGGGGAAGGGUGCGGGGGGUCGGCAGCGGCGGUGGAGCGGGGGAGGGUGCGGGGGGUCGGCGGCGGCGAGGAGGAUCUGAUGAGGGGGGGUAGCGAUCGAGAUGGAGGGGGAUCUGGCACGGGGGGUGCGCCAUAAGUAACUUUUUUAUUAUUACUUUUAGUUGCGUCUAAUAUUUUUUUAGAAAAUGACGAUCAAAUUUGAAAAAAAUUAUGAAUGUGAAAAAAUAUGAUCAAAUUUGUUAUUUGAAAAUAUUUAUGAAUAUAAAAAAAUAUCAUCAAAUUUGUUAUUUGAAAAAAUCAUCAAAUUUGUUAUUUAAAAAUAUCAUCAAUAUUUUUUUUGGAUUUUUAGUUGCAUUCAUUUGUGAAUUGGUAAAACAUUUAUGAAUAUGAAAAAAUAUCAUCAAAUUUGAAAAAAUAUUCAUGAAUUCAAAAAGUGCCCAUGAAAUUUAAAAAUAUUCAUGAGUUCAAAAAAUAUUAACAAAUUCAAUACUUUUUGUGAGUUAGAAAUUCAAUACCAUAAUAAACAUAAAUAAAUAUUCAUGAGGACACUAGAACGGAAGAAAUAUCAUUUCAAUAUCUCGAAAUACAAUCGAGAAAUGAAGGCUACAAUUUACAUACAAUCGAUCUUAGCUAGCUAUAUGUUCACAAUCUACUUUCCCUUAUUUUUCGCAAAUGGAGUUCUUCUCUUGAACGGACGCCCUUUAGGUAAGGUGGUCCUGCUUCUUCUUGUGGUGUAUGCUGGUACUUCAUCAUCGUCGUCAUGUUCCAUCUUCGGGUGGCCGUACUUGUCGAAGUCUUGCUCAUUGGCGACUCCAUCCAUUUCGAUGAUCUUCCUUUUGCCUCUCCUCACGACGACACGACUGGGCUUUGACGGGUAGGUAAUGAAGAAGCAUUGGUCCACUUGGGAAGCUAGUACCCGUGGCUCAUUUUUCGCGGUGACGUUUGCGCCCGCGGUCUUGGAUUUGGCUUCGGGUAUAACCAUGGUGGUGAAAUACCGAUCUUCUUUUAGGAAGCUCUUGGCCCAUCUGACAGGGAACAUCAGGACCUUCUCUCCAGCGUAGCUCAGCUCCCAGAUCUCCUCGAUCCUUCCGUAGUAUCUGUCCUUGUCGUUACCGGUGUAGGAUUCCAUUGUUACCCCGGAGUUCUGAUAACCAUCGCUCUUCAUGUCCUUUCCCUCGGUGUAGAAUGUGUAGCCAUUGAUAUCGUACGCCUCAUACGUCAUCAGAUUGUGCUCGGCGCCCUAUGACAAGGUGAAUAUGAGUUGUUCUUCCGCGGAAGAAUCCUCAUGUAAAGGGUACGACAGAAGCUUCUGCUUGAACCAACGCGUGAAACAUGAGUUGUGCUCUUUGAUUAUAUCUCCGUUCAUCCUCUGUUGGCCUCAGUCAUUGUACGUCUUCUCAAUAAAGGUUUUGUGCUCUACCACCCAAGGAUCGACCAUGUCUAUGUGUUGUAGCGCGACUAGGUUUGCUCUUUCAAAGUCGGCGAGUCGACCCUCGAAGUCGAGAUGCAUUUCACGGCGACCAUCACGGUGACCCCAUCCAGCGAGCCUGCUGAGGUGCCUGUUGAUGGGAAGACCAACGGUGUUCUCGAUGCCUAGAUAAUUCGUGCAGUAGGAGAUGCACUCUUCGGUCAGAAAGCCCCUGGCCAUGCUUCCCUCUGGACGUGACAUGUUGCGAACGUAUCCUUUGAUGACACCAUUCAUCCUUUCGAACAACAUCAUGCUGUGCAGGAACGUCGGCCCGAGUUGGAUGAUAUCCUCCAUGAUAUGGACCAGCAGAUGCACCAUAACGUCGAAGAAUGCGGGCGGGAAGUACAUCUCAAGCUCGCAUAGUAUCACCAUGAUCUCUUCAUGUAGCCUUCUGAGUUGCCUCACGCCAACCGACUACUGAGAGAUGACGUCGAAAAAGUUGCAUAGGACAAAUAGCGUUUCACGGACGUGCGCGUCCAUGAUCCCACGGAUUGCAACUGGAAGUAUCUGCAUCAUCAGCACGUUACAGUCGUGAGACUUCAUCCUGCUGAACUUCUACUUCGCUGAGUCUAGGUAUCUGCUUAUCUUCCCCGCGUAACCGUAAGGAAGUUUUACUCCUACGAGGCAGGUGAAAAACUGAUUGAUCUCCUCCUGACUUAGAGUGAAGCAUGCGGGAGGGAAGUCAUUUCCGGUCUUCUUGGCCUUUUUGCCUUUGCGACGACUUUCCGUGUCCUGCUUCGCCUCAUCAUCAUCAUCAUUAGCGUGAAGCUCCUCCCUGAUGCCCAUUGAUUUCAAGUCUGCCCUUGCUUUCGGCCCAUCUUUGGUCCUCUCUGGCAUGAGCAGGGUACCAAGCAGACUCUUACACACGUUCUUCGUGAUAUGCAUGACAUCAAGGCUGUGAGGCACACGGUGGAUCUUCCAGUACAGCAAGUCCCAGAAAACAGACCUCGUUUUCCAUACCUUCAGCAGCGGCUCUGGUGCCUUUCGCUUCUUUCCCAGCUCUGGCGCCUUUUGCUUCUUUCCCAGCAGUGGGCAAUCUUUCCAAUUUUUCAAUAGCUCGUCUAUUUCCUUGCCACUCCUCGUACGCGGGCGUCUUCGGGGUUCGGUUUCACCAUCGAACAUAUCCUUGCGUUUCCUCCAUGAGUCAUCAUCGCAAAGCCACCUUCGAUGUCCCAUGAACACGGUUUUUGAAGACCCGGGAUUUCUAUCUAGCUGGCGAUACGUUGUGUCAUCCAUGCACCUGACGCAUCCAGAAAAUCCGUGGACCACCUUCCCCGCGACAUAUCCGUAACCGAGAUAGUCCUGCACCGUCGUGAGCAGUGCGACUCUCAUAGGGAAAUAUUCUUUCUCUGCGGCGUCCCACAUAUUGGCUGGCGUUUUCCAUAGCGUGUCUAGCUCCUCUUUCAGCAGCCCCAUAUACAGAUUGAUGCCAUUCCCUGGUUGUUUCGGCCCUUCAAUUAGCAUACUCAUGUGAAUGUACUUCCUCUUCAUGCACAACCAGGGGGGAAGGUUGUAUAUCCACACAAACACAGGCCAGGUGCUAUGUGUGCUUCUCUGGCUGCCAAACGGAUUGACUCCAUCGGUGAUCGCGCCCAGUAUGAUGUUCCUUGGAUCGUUCCCAAAUUCUGGGUGUUCGAAGUUCAACGCUUGCCGCUGGCUCGCAUCCUUAGGGUGACUCAGCAUCUUGUCUUUUUUAUUUAUCUCUGGAUCAUUUGCGUCAUCUUCUCACUUCUUCUCCUCCCUAUCCGCGUGCCAACGCAGGAGCUUUGCUACCUUAGGGUCCGCGAAAUACCGCUGCAGACGAGGAGUGAUCGGAAAGUACCACACCACUUUUCAAGGAGCUUUCUUCCUCUUCUUGUAUCGAGUGACGCCGCACACCGGUCAUAUGGUAGACUCUGCGUGCUCAUCCCGAUAAAUGAUGCAAUUGUUCAUGCACACAUGGUAUUUCACGUGUGGUAAAUCCAGAGGACACACGAUUUUCUUCGCCUCCUCGAAACUGGUCGGGCACUUGUUCCCCUUGGGAAGACGUUCGUGCCAGAAUGACAUGUUCUCGUUGAAGCAUGCGUCGGUCAUUUUGUGUUUUACCUUCAUCUCCAGAGCCAUGAGCAUUACUUUCAGGCAGGUAUCCUCGGGCCUGCAUCCUUCAUCCAAUGGAGUAACCACGUCUAUCUCCAGUUGAUCCAUCUUGGCUUUCUCUCGGGCGGCAGCUCUUGCGUUAUCGGUCUACUUGAGAAGCAGCUCUUGAAUAUGAGGGUCCUGCACCCAGCCCAUCGAUGGGCCAUCGUCGUCUGCUCCGACAUCUUCAUCUUCAUGAUCAUGCCCUUUGUCUACUCUAGCAUCUUCCUCAUCAUCAUGUACGGCAUCUUCUACAUGAUGACUGUGUACUGCAUCUACUUCAUGAUCAUGUCCUGGAGAUUCUUCGUCUUCUCGCCCGCCCUCGUCGCAGUUGUCUUGCUGCCCUUCCUCAUUUCUUGCCCGGCCCCCAUGGACGACUUCAUAAUCAUCUUCAUCACCUUGCCACCGAUAGCCAUCCAUGAAACCACGCAAGAGCAGGUGGUCCCACACCUGUACAGAAUCCGGGUCCAUAAGGCUCCUUAGCUUGCAUCUUCGACACGGACAUCUUAUCUCCGUCUCGUUCUUUUGAAGCAUCUCGGUCUUCGUGGAGCUCAAAAACCUAUUCACGAUGCCUUCGGUCAUCGUGUGGACCAUGGUCGCCUGCGGGGUAGAGCAAAACGAUAUUUUAGAACCAAGAAAUUUUUUGGCAUGACUUUGCCUAAAAAUAGGACCAAAAAGAAUGCAUAGUGCCAAAUUCUCGCCGAAACGGAAAUGAACAUUCCGGCAAAAUAUUGGCAACUAUCGCAUUUCAAAUACUGGUACCUGCAAACACAAACAUAUAUGCAACACCACAAAUAUAUGCAACACCACAAAUAUAUGCAACACCACAAACAUACAUAGAUCUAGCUAGGCCAUAAAAAGUGCAUGUGCACGUUGUUGGAGGGAGGAAAAAAAGUAGAUCUACAACAUAAAGAAAGCUUUCCCCUUACUUACCUAUCAAAAAAAGGUAAUUUAACCACUUAAUUUGGAUGAAUCUAUGGUGCAAAUGAGGUGAGGAGGAGGAGGCAGCCGAGACAAGCUUGGAGGAGGUGGUGGAGAGAAUGAAGUGGGGAAAGUGAGUGUGUAGGUGGCUGUCCAAAAUAUCUACCUGGUCCCAGGUUACUAAUGGUGCACCACCUACAAAUGCACCAUUAGUAACCCUGGUUACUAAUGGCGCACUAGCUGAUGGUGCGCCAUUAGUAGUUUUGCAAAAAAAAUGAUAGUAGUGGCGCACGGGGUGAGUGGUGCGCCAUUACUAGUUAAAACUAGUAAUGGCGCACUGUGCCCUGGUGCGCCAUUAGUAUUUUUGGAAAAUAAUAAUAAUAAAUUGUUAGUAGUGGCGCACCGUGGGUGUGGUGCGCCAUUAGUGUCCAUCACAUUAAUGGCGCACCAACACAUGGUGCGCCACUGCUAUAUAGUAGUGGCGCACCACAUGACUGGUGCGCCAUUAGUGUCCAUAUUAUCUAUAGCCCUUUUCCUAGUAGUGAGUAUUCAACCCAAUUUAUUGAUUUGACACAAGGGAAUCCAAAGAAUAUUUGCAAGUAUUAGCAGACGAGUUGUCAAUUCAACCACAUCCAAAGAUUUAUUAUCUGCAACAAUAUGAUCAGUAGCAAAGCAAUAUGAUAGUUUUGAUAGUAGUAGCAAUAGCAAUAGUGAUGAUAACAAUGAUAGCGAUUUUGUAGCAAGUAUAACGGUAACAACAACAGUAGUAACUUAGCAAGAACAAUAUAAGAGAAAUUUGUAGGCAUUGGAUCAGUGAAUUCGUUGGAUGAUAUUCAUCAUAUAACAGUCAUAACCUAGGGUGAUACGACAGUAGCUCCCGUUCAUAAAUAUAAUGUAGGCAUGUAUUUCGUAAAUUGUCAUACAUGCUUACGGAAAGAACUUGCAUGACAUCAUUUGUCCUACCCUCACGUGGCAGCGGGGUCCUAUUGGAAACUAAGGGAUAUUAAGGCCUCCUUUUAGUAGAGAAUUGGAACAAAGCAUUAAUACAUAGUUAAUACAUGAACUCCUCAAACUACGGUCAUCACCGGAAAGUAUCCCGACUACUGUCACUCUGGGGUUUACGGAUCAACACGUAAUAGGUGAAUAUAACUUGCAAGAUCGGAUCUAGAACAUAGAUAUAAUGGUGAUAACAUAAACAAUUCAGAUCUGAAAUCAUGACACCCGGGCCCAAAGUGACCAGCAUUAAGUAUGGCAAAGUCAUGUCAACAUCAAUCUCAGAACAUAGUGGAUACUAGGGAUCAAGCCUUAACAAAACUAACUCGAUUACAUGAUGGAUCUCAUCCAACUCCUCACCGACCAGCGAGUCUACGAAGGAAUUACUCACUCCCGGUGGGGAGCAUCAUGGAAUUGGCGAUGGAGAAGGGUUGGUGAUGACGAAGAUCGCAAGAUCCCCCUCUCCAGAGCCCCAAAUGGACUCCAGAUCUGGCCUGCUGAUGAAGAAUAGGAGGUGGCGGCGGCUCCGUCUUGUGAAACGCUAUAAUACUUUCUCCCAGAUUUUUUUCUCUGAAAAUAUGAUUUUAUAGUAUCAGGGUUGAGGUCUGCAGGGCCACCAGGUGGGGAAAACCCACCUGGGCGCGCCAGGAGGAGGGGCACUGGUGGGUUGUGCUCACCCUAGGGCCCCCCUCCGGUGGUUCUUGGCUCCAGUAUUUUUAUAUAUUCUGAAAUAAUUCUUCAAAAAGUUUCAUUCCAAUCUAAGAUUUUUUAUUUCUGCACAAAAACAACACCAUGGUAAUUCUAUUGAAAACAAUGUCAGUCCGGGUUAGUUUCAUUCAAAUCAUGCAAAUUAGAGUCCAAAACAAGAGUAAAAUUGUUAGAAAAAGUAGAUACGAUGGAGAUGUAUCAGACCGCCUUUCUUGAUUGCGUUGGCUGAAUGAAGACUAGUUGAUUGCUCCCCCAUACUCCAUAAUGGGUGAGCCACUCUUCGGCACAUCUUCAUAACUCCAUUGUCACCAUAAUGGAUGGCAAGAAACAAGCAUGAGAUCUCUUCGUGAUGCUCCACUUGAACUUGCACACCGCAAUCUUGAUGAUGAUCACCACUUGAUGUCAUCCUCCAUGGGUUAUAUAAUAUCUUCCUUUUGAUGCACGACCAUGGAAACAUACCGAAGCCCACAAACAACUCGUAGACCAUGGGUUAGUACACAAAAACUAAUGGACAAUGCUAAUUAUACCAUGGGAUCACUUGAUCCCUCUCGGUACAUGUUGUAUGCUUUGUGUGUUGAUCAACUUGAUUCACUCUUUGACUUGGUCUUGAUCAACCUUGUAUCAUGUCUUCUACAUGACCAAUCUUUGGAUAAUUCCUUGAAUAGCACAUUGAUCAUCACAUAAACUCCUUGAAACGAACACAUGGACUUUAAGAAAUGCUUAUGGGCAAAUCCUUCAAAUAUAGCUCAAGGCAACCAUUAGUCCAUAGAGAAUGUCAUCAAUUACCAAAACCACACAUGGGGGCACCAUGCUCUUUCAAUGUUGAUUUCAAGAUGACACCAAAUACACCUAGUCUUCGCAACAACACAAUUCAAGAGCUACCUACUGUGAGGAUGCAUGCACCAAUAUUCUUUUUUAAAACAAGAUAUAACCUCACCAAAGCAGUCAAUGAACAAGAAAACAUCAACAUCAAUCACCAACAUUGGCAACCCCUGAGAAACAUUCUCCAGCAAUGAUGUCUCUAGGAAGGGAAGGAGCAGUGCACAAUUACCGUCACAGUACAAGUAAUGAAGCUACACGUUAAGUUUAUUGCCAUCAUAAUACACACUUCAGCUUUUUGGUGAACUAUCCAUGCAAAGCACCAUCUCAUUCGCCAAAAGCUCCAGCUGAAAGAGAGGGCAAAUCAUUAUACUCUAACAAUCUUCUUCUAUCUAUGCUCCAUUGAAAUUACAGUGUGGGUAUUGGAAGCUAUGUUUUGCGAUUCGAAAGCAAAAUAAUAAUAAUCUAGACCUUAUAGAAAAAUAAGCAGUAAUUGCAAAAUGUUGAUACGGAGGACUAAAUCCCAGAUAGAGAUGUUUGAAAAUUUCAAGUCCCAGUCCCAUUUUUGUCAAGUAGUAACCGCAACACCUUCUAUGCUUUACUUCCUACCUACCACCUCACCGAAAGAAUCAAUUUCUGUCAUUUUACUAAGAAACACAAAACUGUGAAUAUAAUAGGGAGGGCUACACUUAUUUGUCUAGUUAUUUCUUUAUUGUAAACUAUAUGCAUCCAACCAAUUCACGCAUUAGUUCAAUGAUUUUAUCUCAAGUAAACCAUAAUGAUGAAAUAUGUCAUAGUUGAACUAUUAGGUUUUGUGACAAAUGGCAUAACGGACUUCCUUUGGAAAUCCUUUCUCUCAACUAAGCAAGUUUAUGGGGCUUCUACGCGAGGUACAACUCCCACAAACAAACUAGGUUACAAUGUGUUCAACCGCCUUUCUAGAAACCAUUGAAGCACCAAAUACAAGAUUAUAUGUUCACUAGGGAGAUACUGCAUUCAGUUCGUCAGGGUUUGUAUAGCAUUCCUAGGUGAAUGGUUUGACUCAUACCUGACAUGCACCGCGUAUUGAAACCUUGAGACAUAAUGUCGAAAAACACAAAUUGAUAGCUAACUAUAUUAGAUCUAGAAACAUCGACCCUCAUUUUUUUAAUCAUAAAGUGAUUUUACAAACCCCCGACAUGUUGUGUUUGGCGUGUACACGUAAUAGAUUAAUGGGCCUAGCAAAAAAACAAGACAAAUGCUAGGGAUGUAUGCCUCUGUUUUUUUAUUUACCCCGCAUAUUAGUUUAACUGAAGUCAAAUGUUAUAAAGUUUGACCAAGUUUGUAGGAAACAAUAGGAACAUUUAACAUAAAAAACCUAUGUCCUGUGAAAAUAUAUUCAAUGAUGAAUCUAAUGGUAUUGAUUUGUGGUGUAUAUGUUACUAUAUUUUUGUACCACUGUCGGUGUUAAAACCGGCGGAUCUCGGGUAGGGGGUCCCGAACUGUGCGUCUAGGCGGAUGGUAACAGGAGACGAGGGACACGAUGUUUUACCCAGGUUCGGGCCCUCUUGAUGGAGGUAAAACACUACGUCCUGCUUGAUUAAUAUUGAUGAUGUGUGCUACAAGAGUAGAUCUACCACGAGAUCAAGGAGGCUAAACCCUAGAAGCUAGCCUAUGGUAUGAUUGUUGUUCGUCCUACGGACUAAAGCCAUCCGGUUUAUAUAGACACCGGAGAGGGUGUUACACAGAGUCGGUUACAAUGGUAGGAGAUCUACAUAUCCGUAUCGCCAAGCUUGCCUUCCACGCCAAGAAAAGUCUCAUCCGGACACGGGACGAAGUCUUCAAUCUUGUAUCUUCAUAGUCUUGGAGUCCGGCCGAUGAUGAUAGUUCGGCUAUCCGGACACCCCCUAGUCCAGGACUCCCUCAGUAGCCCCUGAACCAGGCUUCAAUGACGAUGAGUCCGGCGCGCAUAUUGGCUUCGGCAUUGCAAGGCGGGUUCCUCCUCCGAAUAAUUUAUAGAAGAUUGUGAACACCAGGAUAGUGUCCGGCUCUGCAAAAAUAAUUUGCACAUACCACCAUAGAGAGAAUAAUAUUUCCACAAGUUCAAUCUGCUGACGUAUUUGAUGGCAUGACGUCACACCGCUACCAAGCCUUUACUUAAAUCGUUUUUAUUGUACCACCUCAGCGCGUUUAGCGAAGCGGUUUCCUUGGCACGUCUUGUCGAAGCAGAGAUCAUGUUCCCCUUAUUCCGGGAUUCCCAUCAAUACGGACGUGGGUAACCCAACCGCGCCAUUGAUUGCGGCGCUUGGGGGAUAAGCGAGUUUUAUCAGGCCGGUGGGGACGCAUGUUUUCGUCCGCCCAUAUAAGGGGAUAAAGAUCCAACCCUAUUACCUGCGCCUUCUUCCUCCUUGGCUUACCCAUCUCUGCGAACCCGAGCUCCAGCGCCCAAGCGCGCACAUCUCACCUCAACCUUCUCCAACUAUGUCCGGAGCAGGAGGCAAGUGGAUGGCCUCCUCCAUCACGGAGGGGCAGAUCUAGAAGCUGCGCAACGCCGGAUACUUGUCCAGCGACAUCGCGCACCGGCUCCCCAAUGAGGGAGAGCUCAUCCCCACCCCCAAGCCCCAUGAGAGGGUAGUAUUCCUUCCCCAUUUCCUCCGCGGACUGGGCUUCCCACUCCAUCCCUUUGUCUGGGGGCUCAUGUUCUACUACGGCCUGGAUUUCCAUGAUUUGGCCCCGAAUUUCAUCCUCAACAUCUCGGUGUUUAUCGUUGUGUGUGAGGCCUUCCUCUGCAUCCAGCCCCACUUCGGCUUGUGGCUCAAGACCUUCAGUGUCAAGCCGAAGGUUGUGAAGGGCAGCCAAGCGGAGUGCGGAGGCGCCAUGGUGGGCAGGAUGUCCCAUGUUACUUAGCUCGAGGGAACUUUCGUGGAAACCAUCAAGGGGUGGCAAUCGGGGUGGUUCUACAUCACCGAGCCGCGUGAUCCCGAAUGGGCAGCGGUCCCCGAAUUCAGAUCCGGCAUCCCCACACGGCUCACCUCCUGGAAAGAGAGCGGCCGGACAUGGGGUGAUUCGGAGGAGCUGACAGGACUCCAAGCUUGUAUCCAAAAGCUAGUGGACAAGAAGCUCAAGCUUGUCAACGUAGUCCAGGUCAUGCUCAUCUGCCAGAUUCUCCCGUGCCAACGACGGGGCUUCAACAUGUGGGAGUUCGAUCCGGCACAGCACCAGACUUUGAAUGGGCUCUUCGACACUACAUACGAAGAUGUCUCGAAGGUGCUAUUCAAGGGCGCCGAAGCUCCCGCAUCCGCUACCGAAGAUCGCGGAUUCAGCUCAGAGCGUCCAGCUGAUGAGGUAAGUUAUUUUGUCCUUUAAGGGACGCUUGUUUUCCAUAGUUUGACUCUAUGCGGGAUCUAAACUCCCUUUCCUUUGACAGGACUAGAUGAAGAAGGCCGAACAGGCUAUCUGUCCGGCCCCAUUGCCAGAGGACCCAGCGGAUGCCCGUUUGACGGGGCUGCUAGCUUCGGCACCCCAUGUGGUGCCGGAGAAGAAGGCCAAGAAGAAGGUCACAGGGACUCGGAAGAGUUCCCGCUUUCAGGUGCUAUCGGAUGACGACUCCGAGGCCGACUCCUCUCACCAAGGUGAGGAGGAGAAGAAGAAAGCCUCUUCCCCAGCGGGGGGAGAGAAGAAAAAGAAGGCCUCCCCAACGAGGGAGGCCGAGGGGUCCAAGAAGGGAAAAACUCUUCCCCCGGACUGCUCUGCCAAUGCCAGUGAUGACGACGAGGACUGGCCUCCAAGGGCCAAGCCCUAGGCGAGAUCGUGAGUAUCCGGACUCCCGAAUAACUUCAUGGUUUAUCUUUUUUGCCACACAAUGUCUUUCUAAUGCCGCAUACAACCCUGCAGUCCGCCCAAGGACGAUCUUCCCGCUUCGUCGAGCGGGUCCUUAGGUGCGUCGGAUAUGGAUUCUCUUCCGACCGCCUCCACCCCCCGUGACACGGACGAUGCCAAGGUGGGAUCCCGGGAAGGGACCCGCCAGGAGGAGGAGGCCCCGGAGGUGUCGCAGGACAACCUCCCGGACUUUGCACCGGACUCGGCUCCGGAUCCCAUAGUGGCUCCGGAGUUCGGCGGGCGGCCCCUUCGUAAGAAGGGCAAGACCGUGACACCGGCAGCCUCCGUCCAACCGAAGGCGCCGGAUAGCUUGCUGGAGGCGCUCAAUGGCGCCUCCAUCAAAGAGGAACACCGCACUGUUAUGAGUGCGGUGAUUUAGAAGGUGCAGCUCGCCAAGAGCGGGCUGACCGAAGCCUGCAACAGCCUUCUAACAGGCUUUGAGGUAAGAAUUUUGAUAUAUGUAAAAUAGUACCGCAUAGACAGUAGCCCCUGAUGCUCGGUUCGGUGUUCGGAAAGAAAAGCCGGACUGAGGAUCUAAGAAGAUAUACGCAGGAGUCAUAAAAAAUAUGUCGAUAUGGGAUUGCAGGCUGCGCUGCUGACCUCUGCCGCACUGACUGCGGAGGUCAAUACUUUGAAGGAAGGCCUCGAGAGGUCCGAGAAUGAGCUCGGCCGUGCCAAGAAGCAGCUCGAGGACAAGGAAGGUGAGUAACACCUUAUUAAAAUUGUACCUUACAGAAAAGGAUUUUGGUUGCAAAAUGAAGGACAAGGAUAACAUGGGUAUUGCAGGGGCCACUAACGAGGUGGCGACCCUGAAAGAGGCGGUGGCUGCGACCGAACACAAUGCGGCCGCGGAGCGCACCGAGCGAGAGAAGCGGGAGGCACGGGUGGCGGAGGUACAGCAAGAGCUCCAGGAUCUCGUGAAAAAACAUGAGAGCCUGGAGCGUGACUCGACGACUCGAGAGUCUGAGCUUGCAACGGCUCUUAAGAGUGCCAAAGCCGCUAAGGCCGAAGCCUACAAGGCCCUCCAGGAAAUCGAGGCGUUGAAGAAAAUAGCAGCGGGUAAGGCAUUUUUCAUGCAAAGUAAGCAUGUGAGUGUUAAUUACCUGUUGCUUACCCGAAUUCGGAGCUCUCCAGGAGCGUUCGCAGAUCUUCCUCGCAGCGUGUCCGAUGCUGCCGCGUUCUACCGGGCCGAGGAGGGGAGCUCGACGGAGAAGGUCUUCUGGUCUCAGUAUGCUGAGGCCGGACAUCCGGUGCCCCUUAGCGACCAGCUAAAGCAGCUGGUCGAGCUCUACAAGGUGGCCGAACAGGCCAUGAAGGGCCUCAUAGUUCGGCUGUGGCCUAAGGAGGCCAUGCCUGGGAGCUACUUCGGCCUGGUGCGGCGGCUGGUGGAUGCGUGCCCGUGGGUCGAAGUCAUCAAGCACUCCGUCUGUAUUGAAGGUGCCCGUCGGGCCCUUGCCCGCUCAAAGGUGCACUGGGGCAAGAUGGAUGCCUAGAAGCUCGUGACGGACCCACCACCGGAGCGCAAGGAGCAUCGCACGCCCGAGAUGUAUUAUAAGAGUGUGCUGAAGGGCGCCCGCACUAUUGCGGGUGAGUGCUCCAAAGAUGUAAUAUUUGAGUAGACUCGCAUUUUGUUAUCCUGUGCGCUGAAAACUUAGUUCAUUUGCGCUAAGCAACGUGUUUUGAUUUAAAAUAUUACCUUCUGUGCGGCUGUUUAUCAAAUCUGAGAGAUGGCAAGUCGUCGGCUUCAGCCCCCAUGCCACGAGUGCUGGGGUGUUCGGGAUAAACUUGAGCACUCUUGUUCCCAUAUUUGGGUCCAUCUAGGGAGGCGCUCAACACAACGAACAAGGCAACCGGACUUAUAAUGCUUGAACACUCUCACUUAGCCAUAAAAUUCUAUAAUUUUAAAUUUCGGCGAAGCCCCUAAUCUUCGGAAGGCCGAAUUUGGGGCGCUAUCCAUGCCUUGGCCGGACAAAAACCGGCUCCUCGCUCUAAGCGGCAUAAGUCUUUAGGGACUCACAAAAAACCUCUCGAACAGCGACCAGCUCUCACCUCAUCAUGACGGUCAGUUUUAGCUUUCUCCACUGAGGCGUUAACCCAGCUCAACUGGGGCGCAAUCGCAGUGGUUCUCCCAGUGCUACCUUAGCCGAUACAACGGAACAUAAGGUACCAAAACAUGGGAGCCGGGCAAACCCAACUAUUGACCCAAGACAUGAUUCGGAGCUGAUGCAUAUAUUGCUAUAAGUUCGGGGUGCCGCACUUGUGAAAGUGUUCGGACUUAUCACACCAUGAUGCGGGAAACAUAAGCCCCUGGUGUAUUUAGCCAUACCAGAACGUACGGAUGCGUAAUGUCACAAAUGAACAUAUGUAUAAAAAAGAAAUGCAAUUGCAAGCAAAAAAAGGUGCUGCAUUACUUAUUAAAGAAAAAUUGUUGUAAGUGCAGAACGAUACAAAUGGUGCGAUAAGCAAGGGAUGGGACUGUUAAACAUGUCCCCCUCCAGGGGUAGGCUGCGGAAUGGUGCAUAAAACAGAUUUAAUGCUCGUAAUGGAGACCACCUGGAUAGUCGUUGUAGCCUUUCUUCUUCCCUAGCUAUUGCAUCGUGAGUUCGGCAGGUCUACUACCGGACAGGGCCUCUGACGAACGGAGUCCUGUGGGUAAAAAUAAAAAAAAGGAAAAAGAAAAAAAAGAACGACACACUUGAGAGCCCCUGGUGUGGUUGAGCCGCAGUCUGGGCCUAUCGUGGUCGUGCCCCUCUCCCCAUGCCCAUGGUAUCUUCAGAGCGUAAUGGUGUACGCGAAGGACCUGUCUUGAUGUUUUACAGGGGCUGGGGUUGGGGCCGCACUGCUACGCAUGCUCGACACGUGCCAGGUGGUCUUGUUGUAAGUUACUCCGGGCGCGCUUAGCUGUGUACGGCCGCUUAAUGGCCGAACUCGAGAAUUGCCUUAAGAGGCUGCAUUGUACUUCUGCCGCGAGAGCCGUUGUAUGUUCCUCCGUGCGGAGAGAACGUUCAGUGUUUCCGUUGACCGUGAUGACUUCUCGAGGGCCUGGCAUCUUGAGCUUGAGGUAUGCGUAGUGCGGCACCGCGUUGAACUUUGCGAAUGCGGUACGUUCGAGCAGAGCAUGAUAGCCGCUGCGGAACGGAACUAUGUCGAAGAUUAAUUCCUCGCUCCGAAAGUUAUCCGGGGAUCCGAAGACCACUUCUAGUGUAACUGAGCCUGUGUAAUUGGCUUCUACACCUGGUAUGACGCCUUUAAAGGUCAUCUUGGUAGGUUUAAUCCUUGAGGGGUCUAUGCCCAUUUUGCACACUGUGUCCUGAUAAAGCAGGUUCAGGCUGCUGCCGCCGUCCAUCAGGACUCUGGUGAGGUGAAAUUCAUCGACGAUUGGGUCUAGAACCAAUGCGGCGAAUCCGCCAUGGCGGAUGCUGGUGGGGUGGUCCCUCCGGUCAAAAGUGAUCGGGCAGGAGGACCAUGGAUUGAACUUCGGGGCAACUGGCUCCAUCGCAUAUACAUCCCUGAGUGCACGCUUCCGCUCCCUUUUGGGUAUGUGCGUUGUGUAUAUCAUGUUCAUCGUCCGCACCUGUGGGGGGAAACCCUUCUGUCCUCUAUUGUUCGGCGGCCGGGUCUCUUCCUCGUCAUCGUUGUGCAGCCCCUUGUCAUUGUUUUCGGCAAUUAACUUGCCUGCCUAUUUGAAUACCCAACAGUCCCUGUUGGUGUGGUUGGCUGGCUUUUCCGAGGUGCCAUGUAUUUGGCACAAGCGGUCGAGUAUUCGGUCCAAAUUGGACGGACCCGGAGUAGUUCUUUUAAAUGGCUUUUUCCGCUGACCGGGUUUAGAGCCUCUGAAUCCGGCAUUGACUGUUGUAUCUUCACUGUUAUCGCCGUUAAUGCGGCGUUUGUUUUUGUUGCGAUGCGACCUGCCACUACGGUCCUUGAAAUCCGGACUGCCAGAAUUUUUGCUGAGGUUAUUGCUGCGUGCUAGCCAGCUGUCCUCACCCGUGCAGAAGCGGGUCAUGAGUGAUGUGAGGGCUGCCAUUGAUUUCGACUUUUCCUGUCCUAGGUGCCGGGCCAGCCACUCGUCGCGGAUGUUGUGCUUGAAGGCUGCUAGGGCCUUUGCAUCCGGACAGUCGACGAUUUGGUUUUUCUUUGUUAGGAACCGUGUCCAGAAUUGUCUGGCCGAUUCGUCUGGCUGCUGAAUUAUGUGGCUUAGAUCGUCGGCGUCUGGUGGUCGCACGUACGUGCCUGGAAGUUAUCGAGGAAUGCGGCUUCCAGGUCUUCCCAACUCCCGAUUGACUCUGCUGGCAAGCUGUUAAGCCAAUGUCGGGCUGGUCCUUUAAAUUCGAGUGGGAGAUAUUUGAUGGCGUGAAGAUCAUCACCGCGGGCCAUGUGGAUAUGGAGGAGAUAGUCUUCGAUCCAAACCGCGGGGUCUGUUGUGCCAUCGUAGGAUUCAAUGUUCACGGGUUUAAACCCUUCAGGGAUUUGAUGAUCCAUUACUUCGUCUAUGAAGCAUAGUGGGUGUGUGGCGCCUCUGUACUGGGCGAUAUCGCGACGAAGCUCAAAAGAGCUUUGUCUAUUUUGUUCGGCCCGGCCGGACUUACUGUGUCCGGCACGACGGUUGUCGCCACGUAUCAUGGGGCGCCCACGCGAUCCAUAGAUCGAUCUUGAUUGUCUUGCCUUACCCUCCAAUAUAUCUCGCAAGUCCGGAGCGUUCCCCUGUGGCUUUGUGCUCUUCGAGCGAUGCCGGGGUACGGUUCUAGUGAAGGGCCUAGAAGCCUCUCUGUCACGACCACGGGGUGGUCGGUCAGCCGUAUUGUCUGCUAGUGAUGUAGGUUCGUAUGCCUCCUCCUCUAAUCGGGGGAGCAGCUUGCGUUUAGGGUAACUUUUGGAGGGGCGUUCGAGCUCAUGCUCUUCGGCCGCGAGGACUUCAGUCCAUCUGUCGGCUAGCAGAUCUUGAUCAACUCUAAGCUGUUGGUGCUUUUUAUUUAGGCUGUUUGCCAUGGCCAUAAGCCUGCAUUUAAAACGCUCUUGUUCGACGGGAUCCUCAGGCACGACGAAUUCGUCGUCGUCGAGGCUUGCCUCGUCUCCGGAGGGAGGCAUGUAGUCCUCUACCUCUUCUUCUGCCGCUCUCUCAUGAGGGCUGGCGUCCCCAUCCUCCCGUGCUGAAUUUUGCUAGAGUGGGUUGUCUUCGGCACUAUCUGGGGUGUUAUUAUCUCUGGUGCCGGAAUCUUCAUUCUUGCUAUGGCAGGAUUAGAGCGGCGCCGCUGACGCCGACGCUUGGGCUGUUUCUUGGAGGGGUCAUCCUCCGCUGCCCCUUCGCCAUUCCCAUCCUUUGGGAUAUCCACCAUGUAUAUAUCAUAUGAUGAGGUGGCUUUCCAGUGCCCGAUAGGCGCUGGUUCUUGGUCAUCUCCGGCAUCGUCGUCCAUACCGUCGAUGUCUUCGGAGUCGUAGUCUAGCAUGUCGGUUAGGUCAUCAACAGUGGCUACCAAGUGGGUGGUGGGUGGGUUUUGAAUUUCUUCAUCGUCCGCAUCCCAACCGUCCUGGCCGCAGUCCGGCCAGGGCUCUCCUGAUAAUGAGAGAUACUUUAGCAAACUCAGGAUGUCGCCAAAAGGUGAGUGUUGAAAGAUGUCCGAGGCAGUAAACUCCAUGAUCGGCGCCCAACCGGAUUCGAUUGGUGGGGGCGCGGGAGGUUCGUAGUCCGGCAAGGAGUCCGGCGCCUUGGAGUCACGAGCUUCAUGAGGGACAAGGUCAGUGUUCGGCUCUAUCACCAUAGAGGUUGCAGCCCCCGAGGCGGCGUCUAACCAUCCAUCCUCGAUCUGCGCAGCCGGCUCUGAAUUGAAGAUCGGAGCAGGCUCAAGUGCGGCCUCCAGGGUACUGUCCGGUCGCAGAGCUAAAUCAUGCUCGUCGUGACAGUGCGGCACGCUCGGCUGUGGCUCGAAUCCAUCGAGGAUCAAGUCCCCACGGAUGUCAGCCGUGAAGUUCAAACUUCCAAAUCUGACCUGACGGCCAGGGGCGUAACUUUCGAUCUGCUCUAGAUGGCCAAGAGAAUUGUCCCGCAGUGCAAAGCCGCCGAAUACGAAGAUCUGUCUGGGGAGGAAGGUCUCACCCUGGACUGCGUCGUUGAUGAUGAUCGGAGAAGCCAUUGAGCCUAUCGGCGACUGCACAGAGGAACUCUCAAUGAAAGCACCAAUGUCGGUGUCAAAACCGGCGGAUCUCGGGUAGGGGGUCCCGAACUGUGUGUCUAGGCGGAUGGUAACAGGAGACGAGGGACACGAUGUUUUACCAAAGUUUGGGCCCUCUUGAUGGAGGUAAAACCCUACGUCCUGCUUGAUUAAUAUUGAUGAUGUGUGCUACAAGAGUAGAUCUACCACGAGAUCAAGGAGGCUAAACCCUAGAAGCUAGCCUAUGGUAUGAUUGUUGUUCGUCCUACGGACUAAAGCCAUCUGGUUUAUAUAGAUACCGGAGAAGGCUAGGGUUACACAGUGUCAGUUACAAUGGUAGGAGAUCUACAUAUCCGUAUCGCCAAGCUUGCCUUCCACGCUAAGGAAAGUCCCAUCCGGACACGGGACGAAGUCUUCAAUCUUGUAUCUUCAUAGUCUUGGAGUCCGGGCGAUGAUGAUAGUUCGGCUAUCCGGACACCCCCUAGUCCAGGACUCCCUCAACCACCUUGGUGAAAGAAUAUAAAGUUUAAUUUUACACAAAGCUAAUAUUUGAAGUAAAUAAAGAUGAAAUUGGGUGGGGGAGGGGGUGGGUUGACGACAAACCACGACAUUCUAGAGUGUCCUUUAAUUAAUGUUAUCUCGUUAAGUAAUACUUUGCCCCUAAGAUUCGUAGGAUUCCGAAGGCGUGGAUAUGAAAAAGUAGAUACAAGUACAAUGUGAUAUCCAACUGAAUCAUAAAAUAUUUGUGAAUUUUGAACCAAAGUUUGUUUGAUUGUACUCCCUUCGUUUCAUAUCAGUUGUCAAGUGGUUUGAGUCAAUGCAAAUUUCUUAUAUAAUGCAAGCACAAUGCAAAUAACUACCAUCGCAAACAAUUAUAUGAAAAUCCACUGAAUGAAAGAGGCCCAUCAACUUAGAAAUUCCUUGCAAUAUGUACUCAUAUAAGGCCUUCCUCCUAUGCCCUUGCCCAGGCAGGGGGCUGGAGCAGCAGCGGCCCCGUCCGCCCCGCGAUCCUUGGCUUCUCAAGCCGAGUCGGUCAUGCCGUGUCCAACAUGGAUGGUUCAAAGAGGAGUUCUGGGGGACCACGCACAGGAGGGCUAGGGCUUCCUGGCCCAUGCCGCAAGAUACAGUAGACUUCUGUGUACUUCAAGACGUCAGGGGCAUCGGUGGAACAUCAUCGGAAACCACGAAAGCCGCCAGAUCGAGCCAACCUCCCUACCGUGAAGCCUUUGUCCGAGCGCCCGCCCGACGAGAGGGCAUCGCCUGUUCUCGAAGGAAAAGUGCCGCCAGCGCUUGAGGAGAACCUGGUGGUUGGUGGGGGCGAUUAUGGGGCUCCCUCCGAGGAUGCUACCCGCCUGAAGCCUUCCAUCGGGGGAGCCGAAGAUGUUGUGGCGACGAACCCGUGGGUGCAGACGCUCUUCAUAUGCAAAGCCGGUACACCAAACAAGUGUCAGACUAUGGAGUCUCUGGAGGGGCAGCAGACUCGUGUGGAAGGAGAUAUGCAUGACCAGGACAUGCUGGAGAGAACAAACACCAUGGAGGCAGUCGGCCCAGGGGCCGCUGAUGAACUGACGGGGCUCGUGGAGCCUCGUCAAGAGCAAUGAACAUCCUGAGCUGGAACUGCUGAGGAGGUGGGAACCCUCAGACAGUUUGGGAUCUCGUGAGUCUAGUACAGGCUCACUCCCCUAGUAUCGUUUUUCUUUGUGAAACUAGGUAGUCGAAAAAUGAAAUGAAGAGAUAUCGUGCUCGUUUAGGUCUUAGUGGUUUUGAUGCUUCUGAUAGCAUAGGCUUCAGUGGUGGUCUUGCUUUGUAUUGGCACGAGUCAUUGAGUCUGGAUGUAAAAACUAUUAAUGAAAGAUACAUCGAUGCGUACGUGACUGGUAUGGCAGGUGAGCCACCCUGGAGGCUUACUUGCGUCUACGGCGAACCCCGGACGGAGGACCGUCCUCGCAUGUGGUCUUCCCUUCGGGAACUUCAUCAACAAACCAACAUGUCGUGGACGAUGAUUGGUGAUUUUAACGAAGCCAUGUGGAGUUUUGAGCACUUCUCCGAAACACCACGGUCGGCAGGUCAGAUGAUUGCUUUCAUGAUGUUCUUGAAGUUUGCGGCUUGGGCGACCUUGGUUUUGCAGGCCUUCCAUAUACAUAUGAUAAUCGCCGAGGAGGGCGGGCGAACGUCAAGGUCCGCAUCGACAGGGAUGUGGCAAACAAUUCCUGGAGGGAUAUUUUCUCUCACGCCAAGGUGGAGCACCUUGUGGCGCCCAGCUCGGACCAUCUUCCCAUUUUGCUGCAGUGUGUGAUGGAGGAGCCCGUGCACACAGUCGGGAGAAAAUGUCGCCAAUAUGAGGUUAUGUGGGAGAUGGAUCAUACUCUCCCUGAGGUAAUUAUGAAUGCAUGGACUGAGUUGGGUUCAAUGCUUAAUCUCGGUGAUAUAGCUACUGGUUUGGGUAAUAUGAUGAAUAAGUUGCAGCAGUGGAGUCGUAAGAAGUUUGGUAAUGUAAUCAAGGAAAUUAAUAAAUCUCGCUCUCGUUUAGAGGAACUUAUGUCUAUGAAUGCAGACAGGAAGGAGAUUAGAGCGGCAAUAGACCGGAUGAACGAGCUCCUGUACAGGGAAGAAAUGCUUUGGAUGCAAAGAUCGUGUAUUGCUUGGCUGCGGGAAGGUGACCGGAAUACCCAGUUCUUUCAUCGAAAAGCGGUAUGGCGUGCACGGAAAAAUCGUAUAGAACUUCUUGUCGAUGAGGCAGGAGUGACCCACAAGGACCAUGCUUCUAUGGCGGCUAUGGCUACUGCAUAUUUUUCGAGUUUAUUUGCUGCUGAUACUACCCUGGCUCCAGAACCUGUUAUCGAUCUCAUUAAUACCCGUGUUACUGACCGCAUGAAUGAUGGCCUAUGCGCAGAUUUUUCAGACAAGGAGAUAGCCGAUGCACUGUUCCAGAUUGGGCCUCUGAAAGCCCAGGGACCGGAUGGAUUCCCCGCUUGUUUCUUCCAGCGGAAUUGGGCGGUCAUGAGGGAACAAGUUAUUGCUGGGGUAAAGGAAUUUUUUCGCACAGGUAUCAUGCCCGCGGGAGUGAACAACACAUCCAUUGUUCUUAUACCAAAGGUGGAUAACCCGGAGAGGUUAACAGAGUUCCGCCCCAUCAGCCUGUGCAACGUUAUUUAUAAGGUGGUGGCAAAAUGUCUGGUAAACCGGUUGAGGCCUAUUUUAGAUGACAUUAUUUCACCGGAGCAGAGCGCCUUUGUUCCUGGAUGGAUGAUUACUGAUAAUGCUUUAAUUUCUUUUGAGUGCAUUCACUUUAUUCAGCAGGAGAAAGACCCUGACAAGAGUUUCUGUGCGUAUAAGCUGGAUCUGUCUAAGGCAUAUGAUAGGGUGGAUUGGAUCUUCUUGGAGCGAAUGAUGCAAAAGAUGGGCUUCGCUUGCCAAUGGGUGGACUGGAUUAUGGCUUGCGUCACCUCGGUGAGAUACACAGUAAAAUUUAAUGGAACCCUCUUGGAUUCGUUCGCACCGUCACGUGGGCUUCGACAAGGUGAUCCCCUAUCCCCGUUUAUGUUUCUGUUGGUGGCUGGCGGGCUUUCUGCUUUGUUGAAAGAUGGAGAGGAGAAAGGUGCUUACACACCGCUGGAAAUCUGCCGAAGAGCUCCGGGUGUGUCACACUUGCUUUUUGCGGAUGAUACUUUGUUGUUCUUUAAAGCAGAGGAGGAACAAGCAAAAAAGGUUCAGGAAGUACUUAAUAUGUAUGAACGGGUUACUGGACAGUGUAGUAACCCAGAUAAGUGCAGUGCUCUCUUUGGUCCAUCAUGUGCCGUGGACAUACAGGAUAGUAUACGGGUUGUCCUUCACAUUGGUGUGAGCACCUUUGAGGAAAAAUACCUAGGACUUUCGACGCCAGAGGGUCGUAUAUCACGAGGUAAACUUCAGAAUUUGCAGUCACGGCUGAUGAAGAGGACCAUUGCUUGGGGUGACACUCUUUCUCUUGCUGCCAAGGAGAUUAUGAUUAAAGCAGUCGCACGGGCUAUCCCAACUUAUAUUAUGGGUGUUUUUAAACUGCCUAUGUCAGUGUGUGAUGAUCUGAACAGAACGGUGCGAAAUUUUUGGUGGGGAUCUUCAGAGGGCAAGAGGAAAACUCACUGGUUGGCAUGGCCAAAAAUUCUGGCGCACAAAUCCCAGGGCGGAUUGGGUUUCAAGACUUCCGGGUGUUCAACCAAGCUCUUCUCACGAGACAGGCAUGGUGCUUGCUAGCUAAGCCUGAUAGUUUAUGUGCGCAGGUGUUAAAGGCUCGGUAUUAUCCUGAUGGACGCCUUGAGGAUACAGUAUUUGCCGGAAAUGCUUCGCCUACUUGGCAGGCCAUCCAGCAUGGCCUCGAGCUCCUGAAGAAGGGCAUCAUCUGGCGUGUCGGGAAUGGACAGAGCAUCCGCAUCUGGCGGGACCGCUGGGUACCCCGGGAGCCUUCACGCCAUCCCAUUACACAGCAAGGCACCUGUCGGCUGAGAUGAGUGGCGGAUCUUCUGGAUGAUGCCGGCGCUUGGCAGAUGGACUUGCUACGCCGACACUUCCUCCCGGCGGACAUUGACGCGGUCACCAGUAUCCGCACCUCGCCCCACAUCACCGACGACAUUAUCGCAUGGGCGCCGGAGAAGAACGGUAUAUUCAUCGUUUGAUCCGCCUAUCACUUCGCCAUGGACGAGCGGGAACGUCCACUGGCUACCUCCACGAGCAGGGCACCAGAUGGUCGUCGCGCCAUCUGGAAGAUCAUAUGGGGGUGCCCUGCCCCCCCUAAGGUACGCGUGUUUGCAUGGAGAGUAGUGACCAACUCGUUGGCUACCUGGGCCAACAAAUUUUCUCGUCAUCUUGAGCUUACUGACAUAUGUCCUCUUUGUGGUGUGGAACGAGAGGACGGCUUCCAUGCAUUAUGCAGAUGCCCACUUGCUAGAGAGCUGUGGCGGAAUAUGGAGACGGACUGGCCAAUCCCAAAGCUCGAGGGAAUUUGCAAUAACGACCCAGAGUGGCUGUUUUCCCUCCUGGAACCACUAGACGGAACGGCACGCCUGGUCACCCUCAUGAUUAUGUGGCGAACCUGGUACGUGCGCAAUGAGAUUACUCAUGGAAAGAAGCCACCCCCAACAGAAGCAUCCCGCCGCUUCCCCAACGGGCACAUUAAUUCGCUUCUAUGCAUUCAUCACUACCCAAAUGGAGACGUGGAGAAAGGAAAGAUGAUCCUGCAUGUUACCCCACCGGCCACAACUUUAUGUACUGAGCAGAAGCAGGAGCUACGUUGGGCGCCGCCCGGCCCGAGCUGGACGAAGUUAAACACUGAUGGCAGUUAUGUCCCAGCUACAGGCGUUGCAGGAGGGGGCAUGGUCCUCCGCGAUGACAGAGGAGAGAUCAUCUUCAGUGCGUGUAGGGAGAUACGCACAUGUGAUAACAGCCUGCAUGCGGAACUUGCAGCAUGCAGAGAGGGCUUGGAAUUGGCUUUGCAUCGGACCAACCUACCCAUCGUGGUGGAGCUGGAUAGUGUGGAAGCGGUCACGAGGCUUACAACACAUGUGAUGGACCGCUCACAGCACCGUGUUCUAGUUGACGAGAUUCGGAGGAUAGUUACAUAAGAGGAUAGAGAGAUUUUUUUUACUCACUGUAGACGAUCUCGGAAUAAAGUUAGUCAUGAGUUGGCCGCGUACGGCCGUAGUACCCCCCGCACUGCUGUGUGGUUGCGAUCAGGGUUGGAAUUUGUUGUAAACCUAUCCAAGGCUGAUAAGCCUCCUUGAGUAAUGAAAAUCUCCUUUCACCCUGCAAAAAAAUGUACUCAUAUAAGGCUAGCUUUUUUUCCUGUUAAAAAAGAUAAAUAAUGGAGAAAUAUUUGGGAAGAUAACACUUGGCACUCGGUUGGUGGAACACGUCACAAUAUUAUUUCGAAUUGAUCUGUAACCAGAAUCUCAAUGCAAAAUACCCCAAGCAUACAACCGAGACCACGCAUGCACCCCAUCGCAUGGCCUCCACACGCCUUGUCGAUAUCCAUGGUGGCAUCUGCGCCGGCCGGGUGUCACGGAUCCCCCUUCACUCCCUCAGCGUGUGAACGUGGACGCUCCAACCCAACCGUGCCCCGUGUUCAGGAUAAGCUGGCCGGCUCGUCCGCCCUUCUUAUUGCCGCUGCUUCUCAUCUCACACGCUCCAACACUAUCCUCUCCUCCACCGAGUAUCCGCCUACGGAGUAGUACCUCGCAAGCUAGCUCGCAGCUCCGCCGCAAUGGCCACCGUAUUGAGCAGCCUCCGCUUGCCCUUCUCCGUCUGCCCCGCCGCCCCUUCGGCGCCCAUGGCGGCAUCCCGCGUCGCGCUCCCGCUGUCGUCGACGGCCGCCAGGGGCAUGAGGCUCCGCGCGCAGGCGACGUACAAGGUGAAACUGAUCACGCCGGAGGGCGAGGUGGACCUCGAGGUCCCCGACGACGUCUACAUCCUCGACCACGCCGAGGAGGAAGGGAUCGACCUGCCCUACUCCUGCCGCGCCGGCUCCUGCUCCUCCUGCGCCGGGAAGGUGGUCUCCGGCCAGCUGGACCAGUCCGACCAGAGCUUCCUCGACGACGACCAGAUCGAGGCGGGGUGGGUGCUCACCUGCGCCGCGUACCCCACCUCGGACCUCGUCAUCGAGACCCACAAGGAGGAGGAGCUCACCGCUUGAAUUCACUGAUUUGUUUAGUUCGACCCGUUUCCACCGUGCGCGUGUACCAUGCACGACAUUCGAACUGUAUCAGGAUAUUGAGGAGUUGCAAAGUACAGUACGUAAUUAGUACUUGCUGUUGUGGUCGGAUUUUGAUUGCUUUUGCUUAUUAAUGCCUAGUGUUAAUUUUCUCAAGUCAAUCAAGUAAUAAAAGGAGAUGAGAUUGUACUCCAUGUCUCCGUUACGCGUGCCUCGCGAUUCACUUAUGAUUUAGAUCCUUUUUAGUUUGCAUAUAAGUU
RNAcentral lists this long non-coding RNA (45281 nucleotides) under Triticum aestivum (bread wheat). RNAcentral's name for it is "long non-coding RNA (TAES_LNC016434)". The record is from RNAcentral. Lineage: Eukaryota; Viridiplantae; Streptophyta; Magnoliopsida; Poales; Poaceae.